Molecule: long non-coding RNA, 58474 nt
Filed under: Ananas comosus (pineapple)
Lineage: Eukaryota; Viridiplantae; Streptophyta; Magnoliopsida; Poales; Bromeliaceae
Description: long non-coding RNA (ACOM_LNC016684)
Source: RNAcentral
UAAGAGGGUUUAGAGCUUAUUUUUUUUAUUAAGGUUGCGUUUGAUUCAGGUAUAAGUAUGAAUUGCUUAUUUCAGGAAUAGGUACAAGUUCAGAUAUAAACAGGAAGUCAGGAACUAGACCAAUUUUGCGUUUGGAUGAAAAUUGUGUUGUUCCUAGGAAUAAGGUAAAUAGUAUUUAGAUGGUUAGAUUGGAACAUGGGGAAUAAGAUUUAUAAUUUUAAAUUAAAAUUAUUUUAUCUAAUUAAUUAACAUCAAAAUAUUACUUAAAAAUGAUUUAAUAAAUUAAUAAAUUUAUUAACUAUGAAUAUUGUAUAAGAUAAUGAAAAUAUAUUAAUUAAUUAAUUAAUUAUAAAAAAUUAACUUUUUAAUUAGUUAGUAAAUUAUUUUAGCUAGAUAACUAGUAAAAAAAUUAAUUAGAUUAAUAUAAAUAUUUAUGGUUGAUCAAUAUAAAUAUUAGUUUAUGAAUAAAUAAUUAAAUUAUUAAUAAUUAAUUACACCAUUUUGAUUAUAAUGAAAAUCUCCAUUGUGUCUUCCCUUGCGGACGUAGGCUAGUGGCCAAGCCAUGUAAAUAUUUAUGUUUAAUUUUUUUCUCUUUCUUGAUUCUUCUUUUGGUAUUUUCGUACCCAACGAAUUAGAUCUUUUUCCGCUUUUGUUAUGACAAACUGAUAUCAGAGUAAAUCUGAUAGCAGUGUAAGUGGCAGAUUUCUAACAAACAGGUAUCAGAGCAAAUCUGGUAUCAGUAUAAGUUGCGGAUUUCUAGCAAACUGGUAUCAAAGCAAAUCUGUUAUCUCUUUUUUUGUCUAUCUAUUGCUUCUUGCUUCUCUCUCGCCACCUCUUUCUCUUUCUCCAUGAUAAGUGCUCCGUCUGCGACCUCUUGGAAGGUUUGGAGGUUCGCCGAUUGGACGAGAUGGUGGAUCGAUGGCUUAAUCCUUAAACAUUCUCGCAUUUUUUCUGUCAUCCCUUACCACGUAGUUUAUGCCGUUUAUUAUAGGGAAAAUUUUUUGCUCAUAUUCUGCCAUUGUUUUUCUUUUUUGUUGGAGCUUCCUCAUAUCCUGCUCCAAAUGCCGUUUGACUCUCUCAGAGAAGUACCUUAUGAGCAGCAUCUUUUUGAACUUAUCCCACGAGAUCGUGGACAAGUCCAUGAAGAAGAAUUAGACCAAAAACUAGGAUACAUUUUGGGAGAAUGAAGCGUCCAUGGAAGAGAAGCAAAUGAAACACUUGCAUUACUCCUUUUUCUAGUGAACGUGUCACAGCUGAUUACUCUUUUUUUUUUUUCUUUUUCUUUUUUACAGUUUAAAGAUUGGCAUUCUAUGUCCAAUUACUGGUAGGCUUUCCUCUCUAGGUUGUGGACCACCUGCCACACACGUUCCUCAUCCGGGAUAAAGAUGUUGUGGAAGAUCUUCUCCAUAUGUAUAACCCACUUUUCGACCACCCAUGGGUCGGGUCCUUACCAUCAAACGAUCUUGGCCUGCACAGUCAAAUCCCUCCAAACGGGCAAGAACUUCUUUCCCCUGUGCUUGUCACUGCGGUAGGAAACACCGCCAGAGGUGUCACAUUAACAGGGGUUGGUGGGACGGAGCUCCUCCAGCUCUCUCGUCGAGACCCACACUCGUUGUUGGAGUCAGUAAUUGAUGUUGCGCUGCUUGAGUUGUAGCAACAACUCCUAUGGCGAUUUGGUUGGCCACCGAUGGGGGAGUCAAUUGCCCCUGCACAUAAUUGGCGGGCCAGGAGCUCCUCAAGUCGUUGCAUGCGCUCCUCUUGGUAGGGCGUGGCCUCUGCUUACUUCUCCACGCCCCUAACCAAGGCGGCUAGGUGGCUAGGCUACUCUUGGACCUCUCCAGAUCUAGAUGAUAGGGGUAUGUUGUGUUGAGUCGUCGUAGACCUUGUCCGAGAUCUUUCGUAAGGUGCCAUGUCUACUUCCUGAAACAUAAAGUGACAUCAGUUAUUAACAUAACCUAGAUUGGUCGAACUCAAUUAGAGAAAAAAAAAAUUAAUUCAAUUUGGGCAAAAUUUUCAAAAAGGAAUUUCCUUCCGUCUUUUGACUCUACAUUGUUGGUCACCAACGUGACUAUCAGAAGAGGGAAAUAGUAUCAUCUUGUUAAAGAUAUGCCUUCUUUUUUAUUGGUUUGGUUCAUACACCGGGUUUAUGGAAAAAUAGAAAGGAUCCCAUUAGGAUUUAUUUUGGUGGAUCCUAAUUUAAAUUGGAAUCCUAGGUGGACUAGGAUUGGUUUCCAUAUAAUACUCUAUAUUCAAUAAUCAUAUUGAAUUAGAGUAGGAUUGAGCCAAAUCCCUCUCUAUAUAUACAUGCAUAUGCAUGUACGGCUUGGGGAGCCGUGUGGUGGCCAAAAGUAAUUAGAGAGGCUAGAGGGCUGAGGCCAAUUAAAUUAGCAUCAGGUCCAUGGCUAAUUAAUCAAGGCUAUUGGCCCGGUCUUGACGACGUACGGCAGCAGCAAGAAGGUCGCAUGAAGGACUGACUUAAUUAGCAUGCGGAGAGAAGCUAAUUAAUUAAGGUGGCCGGUUCUCUUCAUGUAUAGCGGUACGGUAGCAAGAGAAGGAGAUGCGCGGUAGCACGCAUGUGACGGAUUGACAUUGGCGGCGGAGCGGCGGUUCUCAACCAAUUGCCUGAGCGGUUCGGAUUCUUCGAAGCAACGGCAUAAAGGAAUUUGGUUAGAGUUUCUAUACUUCUCUAAUUUGGUCUUCUCGGUUUUACGAAAAGAUUUUUUCGGUAUUUUCUUGGAGUUUUCGUUGGAACAAGAGAAAGGUGGGAUUCACCGUAAGGCUCUUGGUUUUUAUCCGGAGAAGACAUAAGGUGUAAGCUUGUACUUCUAUUUCUUCAUAUAGUGGAAUACAUCUCUCUCGCUCUCCCCGUGGACGUAGGCAAUUGCCGAACCACGUAAAUCUUGGUUUCUUCUUUCUGCAUUUAUUUCUUUUAGCCGGUCGUUCGUGUUUCUCUAUUUUUCGUGCAUCUUGUUGGUAGUGCAUGACGAAUGAUCAUACCGGUUCCCAACACAUUUUGAUUGGCGCCAGUAAGUUUUCUGGAGAUAUAACAUCCAUUCAUGACUUAAUUCGCCGUACUACCUAUAAAAUUGUUUCUCUACACGUUGUCCAAAGUCCUUAAGCGUCAGUUCAAUGCCUAGUUUUUGUUGGGAUCCGUAUUGCGCGCCGGUACCGAUCUCGUGAAUCGGCAACAGCCUCCGAUACCGACUCUCUAGGAUCCGGUAUCUAAAUUGUUGGGAUAUUCCGCAACGGAACGUCAAAUCGGGUUUUACUCGAUAAACCCGUCUCCUCAGCAAAAAGCUGAUACAAUCAUAAAAGAGAAAUACCAAAACAAAAAUACGGUAAAAUAAGAUUCAUUAAAUAAGUAGAAGAUUACACCUGACUCCUCUUCUGCACAGAGUAACUACAACCCAGCGCAUCUUUCUAAUCUUUUCUACCCUUCUCCUCGUCGUUCUAUAAUCAUAAAGAAGACAAUCAUCCGCCGCACUCAUCACUAGUGCACUAAAUAACUCUCUCCUCUCCCUUUUUUCUUCUCGGUUACGGCACCCAAAGAGCCUUUCUCUCUCCCGUACUCACAUCUCAAAAGCAAACCACAAAAGAGCUAUUUAUAAGGUCGCACAGAAAAAUACCCAAAUCCUAAUAUAUUUAGGAUUUCUAACUCCAAUUAAUAUCUAAAUCUAUCUUAAUAAUCUCUAAUAAUUAAAUUAAUCCUAAUCUAGUUAGAUUUUACCUCUAAUUUAAUAUUUAAAUCUUAAUUUAUCUCCAAUAGAUUUAAAUAUAUAAUUCUUAAUCAACUAGGAUUCAUACAAAUCUAACCAAUCUAAAAUCUCCACCUUGGUUGGAUUUGUAAUACUUCAAACGUCACGUCGAGCUCACCAUGCAAGCUCACCCUUGAGCUUGUCUCCUCCGCUCGAUGUCGCCGCAUCGUCGCUCUCGCCUCGAGCGACUGCACUCCGCGAACUUUUGGAACCAACGUCUUCGCUCCCGUUCGAUUGUGCUCUCGUUCAGAACGUACAAGUUGCCACGCUUGUUCGCCUCGCAACACGACCCAUCUCGUUUUCGAACUCUCAUAGCUCCACCUGAGCCGAAAUAUCGCAACCCUUCGAGUCAAUUGCGCCUAACGAGAUCAAAUUUCGCUUUCAAUCCAGGAACGUACCGCACACUCUGUCAGCGUCCUCACGACCCCAUCGUGCAUUCGGAUCUUCACCGUGCCGACUCCCAAAACUUUGCACGUCGUCCCGUCCCCAUUAGAGCUUUUUCACCUUUUGAUCGCCUUAUAGGUUGCAAAAAGACUCCUUCCCGGCAUACGUGAAAAGAACACGCCGAAUCGAGCACCCACGCGUCAUCCGAAAUUUUUGCAACCGUCCGGUCGCGCAUAUAGCACAUCAGAAUCGAACAUCUUCCGAUCUGCUCGUCUGUGCCGUUUCUGAUACGUCUCGUCCUGGUUCAGCGACAGUUCUCCUUCUGUCUGCUAACUCCUUCAGAUCAUCCUGAAGUUUUCGACAAUUUGCGCUUGAAUAUGCCUUUCCUGUGAGAUAAAAGCACUCUACCCUCAGAUAGCGGCUUCUUCUGUCGAUCUCCGGUCGCUGAUGUGUGCCUCCUUUUCGCUCUGACUACCAAAGCUGAUAUCCCGACUCUGUGUGCGCGACUCCUGAGUCAUCUUCCGCAUCUCGUUCGAGAGAACGCCGCCGUGACCGUCUCCACGCUUAUGGUCUCCUUGCCAUAAAGCAACGUGGUCAGCAGAUGCUCAUAUGUCGCCGUAGCGAAGAUAGUAAAUCAGCGCCUUAUCUUCGUCUAUCCACAUUGACUACGAUGCUGGUCAACUGGCCACCACUUGUUGAAUUCGUUUAGAUGCCAUGUAGGCUUGCCGCUUCUUGCAUCCGCAGCGUAAACAGUCGUGGCUUCAGAUACAAUCUGUCGUCAGGGAAUUUGGUCAUGUACAGUCUUCCAUAUUUCUUCCACAACUGUCGCCGGUGUCGUCUCGCUGGCUACGUUGUAAAGAACCUCAUUGCUAAUGAAUAGAUGAAGCGUACUCAGCGCUUCCGCUUCCAUCUUCGUCCAUGCGCAUCCGUGACCUCCGCCGGGCUUCGCCUCCUCCCGUUCAACGUCUCGUCCAAUUCUUGCUGUACGAGGAUCGCUCGUACUUUAAUUGCCACAAUCCGAAUAUUGUUCUGCCGUCGAACUUUCUCGAUUUCGAAUUCGUAGCAUUUCGUGGAUUCUCCCUCGGAUCGAUAACCUUCAGCUCUGAUACCACUUGUGGGAAUCGGUACGCCCCGGAACCGGAUCUCGUGAAUCCGCAACGCCGCUCCGAUACGACUGCUGUGGAUCAGGUAUCAAUUGUUGGGAUUCCGCACGGAAACGUCAAAUCGGUUUUUACCAUAAACCCGUCUCCUCAGCAAAAGCUAUAACAAUCAUAAAGAGAAAUACCAAAACAGAAAAUAUGCGGGUAAAAUAAAGAUUCAUUAAAUAAGAGAAUAUUACACCUGACUCUUCUUCGACAGAAGUAAUACAACCGAGAGCCCUCUUUCUGAUCUUUUCUACCCUUCUCUCGUCUUCUAUAAUCCCAUAAAGAAGACAAUCAUCCGCGCGCACCCAUGCACUAGGUGCACUAAAUAACUCUCUCUCUCUCUUUUUCUCUCUCUGGUACGGCACCCAAGAGGCCUUUUCUCUCUCCCGUACUCACAUCUCAAAAGCAAACCCACAAAGAGCUAUUUAUAAGGCUCCACAAAAAACGUACCCAAAUCCUAAUAUAUUUAGGAUUUCUACUCCAAUUAAUAUCUAAAUCUAUCUUAAUUAAUCUCUAAUAGAUUUAAAUAUUAAUCCUAAUCUAGUUAGAUUUUAUCCUCUAAUUUAAUAUUUAAAUCUUAAUUUAUCUCCAAUAGAUUUAAAUAUUAAUUCUUAUCUAACUAGGAUUCAAUUACAAAUCUAACCAAAUCCUAACAGGUUUCUUGUCUAUCCAUCAUAUCGCUCUGAUACCAUUCAAUCUAUCAUGCUCCAGUUCGAGCAGCGAAGGCCCCUAUUUAUCGAGGCCGUGGCAGACCCGUUGCACAGGCAGAGCUUCCCCUGCCCGCACGAAGUGGUGAGCUACUAGCUGUACAAUCAAUUCUUCACAAGAAUACAUUGCAGAUAGGAAACUCAUUAAUCACUUUAAACUAUUACAAAUUGUUUAUCUCCAAAUACACCAUCAUCAUACAACUAACAUCUCUUAUAAUUUAAUAAAAUCAAAUGGUCAACUAUGUGUUCCACUUGCUAACUAUGUCAAAAUGAGACAAUGGAUGAGGCCCACCGGCUAAUAUGUGCCGCCCUUGCCGUGAGCACACACCUCGGGAAGACGAAGGGCCUGUGGAAAAACAACAACAAUAGAGGGGUGAGAAUUUGAAAUAAAUUUUCAGUAGGUUCAACUGCCGAAGGAGGUGAUCUAUACUCACUCAGUCCAAAGGAGGCAUAAUAGGAAAAAAGGUAACGAUAUAUGAAAGCUACAAUUAUGUAUGGUGAAAGAGAUAUGAAUAAAUGCCACUACUAUACCUUUGUGAAGUUUUGAAGUUUACCAAGAAGACGUGCAACUUAUCUAUUCAACAUGGAAGAAGCUCUCCAGUGGGAACUAACAAUGUCUUACCCAAUUACCUCUACUGGCUUGUUGGUCUGCCCCUUGCUUGCUUACUAUCAACUCAUGGAAGGCCGAGCAAUAUCGACUACCAUCCCACUUGGUGUAGAUAAGGGCUGAGCAUUAUCGACUACCCAAAGCGACACUUCUGGAAGGUCUUGGCUCGUGGGGUUGCGAUCCCCACGAGCGAUGUGAUCUAGCAUAAUAUUUUGACUAAUACAAGUUUUAGUCACAAUCCACAUCCAUGGAUUUUCAUUUUUAUGUCACCUCAAGGCUUUGUUUGGUUCGGGUAUAAGCAAGAACUGUUUAUUCCAAGGAUAGGUACAAGUUCAGGUAUAAGCAAAAACUUGACCAAUUUUGCGUUUGGAUGAAAAUUGAGUUGUUCCCGAAAAUAAGAAAAAUAGUGUUUUGAUAGAUAAGAUGGAAUAAGAAGAACGAUGAGUAGUUAUAAAAAAAAAUAAUGAUAUUACUCAUUAUAUUUGAAUUUAAAUUUUUAAAUUUUAUAUUUAUAUUUUCUAAAUUUAAAAUUUUAACUUUUAAAUUUCAAAAUUCAAAAAUUAAAAUUCAAAAGUGAAAAUCUCAAAUUUUAAAAUUCAAAUUGAAAAUCUCAAAUUUUAAAUUUCAAAAUUUAAAAUCUCAAAUUUUAAACUGCAAAAUUUGAAAUUUAAAAUGUAAAAUUUGAGAUCAAAUUUAAAUUUGAAAAAUAUAAAAUAUCAAAUAAAUUUUAAAAAUAAAAAUUUAAAAUUUAAAAUUUAAAAUUAAAUUUUUUUUUUGAGAUUACAAAUUAUAAAUUAAAAAAAAUAAAAAUUUAAUUUUUAAGAUUUUAAUUUUUAAAAAUAAUUAAUGAUUUAAAUAUAUUAAUUAGAUUAAUUAAUGAUUUAAUACUAUAAUUAAAAUUAAAUUUAGAGUUUAAUUAAUCUUGUUCCCGUUUAUUCCAGGGAGAAGGGUGGAACAGCAAUUCUAGGCUUGUAUCGGAUUAUACCAGUUUAUUCCAGAUACCAGUUAAUUCAUUAAACAAUCCAUGCAGAAUUUACAGUUUUAGUUAUCAAAUGUUGAAAUGCUCAUUAUGCCCCAAUGUAAUAGUAUGAUCCGGUCUUGUCAACUCGAUCAGUGUUCUCAUCUUGGAUCCCUGAGGAACAGCCCCAGGAUUGACAUACUUUUAAUCUAUCCUCAAGCUGUUCAGCUUAUUUUUUAGUUGCUCCUUUCAUCCGUUCUUUGUAGGCGAACUGAUGAAACUUGGUGCAUCCAUUGUUGUCCUUCAAGCCGUUCCAAAAUUUUUGCUGUGUCCCUUUUUUUUUUAUUUUCUUUUUCAAAUCUUAGUUGGAUCACUAAAAAAACCAGCAAAGCAGCUAAAUUUUGAUCAUGUGCUGCCUGAUAUUGAUGCAACUGUCCUCUUAACCAAUCCUUUCUCUUGAUUUGUGACCCUCUAAUGACUUAUGUUGCCUGAUAAAUGCUGUCCCUUAGUUUUCCUUCACUAUAUGAUAUUUUUAUUGGUUCCUUAUAAUAUCAGUUAACUGUUUCAAGCUGUUUUUGUUUGCUUGGAAAUUGUAUAUUUAAUUAUAGAAAUUUUGAAAUGGAUGACAGAUGGUAUCUCUACUAAUAGUCAUUUUCCUUCGCCUUUGUAAAUUUGUAAGAAUUAUCUGAUCGCAUAUUAUUUGUGCAUAUUUCUGUUUCAUUUGUUUUUUUUUACCUUCUGAUUGCUGAUUUUCUUAUACUGAAGUGUGGGUCUGAGCUUGUCUAACUUUAUGAAAAGUUUAAACGUGUAAAUGUCCUAUGUUGAAUUAUUGAUAGGGGUAAAUUGAUUUCAAUCUGAAACAUUAGAAGAUUAUGUUAUAAAUUAUGACUCAAUCUUGUUCGUUGAGCUUGCAGUCAGCCAUGAGAUGCCGAGUAAUAUUUUUAUUCUUGCAGUUUCCUUCAGUCAUUGCAUUGGACCUUCUCCAUUUUCUUUACCGUAUGCAUUCUACGGUUUGUAAUGAAUGUGGUUACUUUUCCCAUUCGCAUCAGUUGUAGUCUCAUUAUCUUGUAUCACAUUUAUAUUUUAUUGAGUUAAAAUUGCAACUUUAUUUUAUUUUAUUUUAUUUUUUACAAUUUUAUCAUCUAUGAUGGGCAGAAACCUCUUUUUAGGCGUCUUGUCCGCAUUGGGUAUUAAUUCUCGUACGUACAUGCCUGAUACAUAUCAGAUAUUUGUCAUAAAAAUAUCAACCAUUUUAGAAACUUUAGAAAAAUAAUGGAUGCUCAUGGGGAACUUGUGGGACACGGUUGGAUUUCUUUCGGCUCUAACUGGGAAUGAAAAUCAUUCUCAAGAUAACUUGUAUGGCAAGUUAUCGUAGUUAUUACGCUUGGAUGACACUUGCAUCAUGGGCUCAUGUUUGAUGAAACUCGAGAUUAAUGUUGGUCUAGUUAAUUUUGUUUCUUAGUGAGCAAGGUUCGACUUUUUAUAUAUCUUUGCACCAGUUAGUUGGUUUAUUGUUUAUGUUGUCUGAUCACCUAAACCUCUAUUAAUAUAAAUCGUCAUAUGAGGUAAUACUAAUGUAUCAAAAAUUAUGUUUAUUGCCAUGUCCAUUACAUAUCACAUGCAUCCUAACAUUUUGAGAAUUUGUUUUUAUCUCUGAAUUUGUAUCAAAUUGUAUCAGUAUUCUGUAUUGUGCAACAAGUGGGCACGAAUGCCAAAACAAUUAUAAAGAGGCAUCAGAGAAGAGCGAUCACUGGUUAUUUGGUUCUAUCACAUUCUAUCACUAACUUUUUGGUUGGAACAGAGGGCUGAGGUCUAAAACUCUUUUUUGUCACACUAGUAACAAAACUUACUUAGUCGGGUGUGAUUAAAAAGAAAAAGAAUUAAAAGAAAAGAUGAGGGCUUCUGUAGUUUUUAAUUUGUUGUGUUUAUUCUGAAUUUUAGGGUUACUUGCAUAGUAGCAGAAGCUUGCCUUGUGGCGGGAUCAGCUAGGAAUGCGUACCACACAAAAUAUGUGGGUUACUACAUCAAGCGGGACUUGACGUCGUGCGCAGCACUUCGGAAGGGGGUCUUCGCCGCGGCAGCUGCUCUUGUGCUGGUCUCUUUAGUGGCAUCUCUCGUAUAUUAUUGGAACUACUCCAGGGCCGCCACCGGAGGUUGGGUGAAACACCAGAAUGAAGGCGGGGUAGGAAUGACGGAUUAUGGCACGGGUAAGGGUAAGGAUGAAUCCGGGGGUACUGCGACGGUUUGAGCAAACUUACCCAUGAUAGGUAGUCAUGUGCUUUUCCUUACAAUUAUGAGGCUUGUUGCAUGUUCUAUAUUAACUUGAAACUGUAGAGCUCAAAAAAUGUGGUUGCUGCUCUUUGUUGACUUCUCACAUGUGUUUCUUUCCGCUGAUGUCGUGACCGUGGUCGUCCGUUAAAUUUCAGUAAAGAUCAAAGUGUUCAUCAGUCAAACUACCGUUAUUUAUUUGUUGGAAGGUUGCAUCUCCAUCACGGGAAAGGGGCCUCGAUGGCUUUGACUUUCCCCCAGUAACCCAACUCGGCUUGGGGCUUGGGGUAAGACGACAACUCUACCUCAAUUUGCCCUUCUGUGGUGCAACUUUUACUUUUUUUACUUUAUCAUUUCGUGGUUUCAAAAGCAGCACUUAACUAACCAACCUGUAGUUUUAUCUCUAUUUUAUUCAGAAAAUCUCGUCAUAUAGAGUACGUAGCAAAAAGUCUUUGCUACCAUAGGGUAGCUAAGUGUAACUUUCUGAUCCCUAAGGUAGCAGUGUAAAUAAGUCAAAUCAUAGGUGGGGAAGUGCAACUCUUUGAGUAGCAUAAUAGCAGAGGUGAAAAUAAACUAAAACACAGUAGGGCGAAUUGAAGUUUACCCAAACUUCUUAACCAUUCUCUUGUUCAAGAAUGCAAUAGGCUCAAGCAAAGAGUCGCCCUGCGUUAUUAAUAAUUGUUAGUCGCAAAGGUCACAGCUGUAGCAACCCGAUCUUGCUUUUGAGUUAUGAAACAUGAAAUCAAGUGGGCAUUUCGAUUCAACUUGGAAAUCAAAUUUUGUAAGAUGCAACUUACCACCUUGGCUAUAUUGGUAAAAUAUAGGCCAAAAUUCCUUUUGUGUUCAUUACUUCUGGAGGUCCACUGCGGCGCGGUGCAUAUGUAUAUAGGGUUACUUACUAUUUCGUAUACCAAAAGAUUACCACGGCUAACCGCCCGCUCGGUUUGGGGACAAACGUGAUCCGGCAAAUGUUCGACCGUCUGGAAGCUUGAAGCCGGAGAAUCGUGUUUUUAUUGCGCCGCAGGAGCCCAAUCAGGCGCGUGAGUAGAGCCGCCACAGACCGGGUAUUUAUUGCCUGCAUAUGUUUGGCGUCGGAGUACGAAGAAGUAUAUUUUAUGCAAGCAUGAUAUAGUAGUAAUUGAAGGAGACUUAACCCAGGAUUAUAUUUUCUUUCCAUAGGACAUUUACUUGUUUCACAAAAUAUCCGAGUCCGCAGAUACAACCCAUGAAUCGUCUACAGAAGUUUAGUAAUAAAUUUUCAAUAUCCAAACGAAGUAGAAACCCCAAAAUGUGCCUCUCUAUUAGGUGGUGGCAAGUUAUUGCGCAUUCUCACUCCGCGCCAGACUAUAAAGUUCUCCUGUGGGUGCAAUCUACCGACGAGGACAAGCUGUACCGACUGCUCAAUGAAAGAACAAUGACAAUAACAGAGCAUAAUUGAAAGGAACUACAUCUAUAUCUAUCUAUAGUCUAUAUAUAGUAUAUAUGAAUCCUCAGUUUUGAACACCUGGCGAGCGCGGAGGCGCGGGCAGGGGCGAGCGUGGGGCGCGGGCAAGCGGGCGCGCCUGGCGGGGCGCCGUGUGGCGCGGGCGCGCGGGGCGCGGGCAGGCGGGCACGCGGGGAGGGGCUCCGCGUGGCGCGGGCGGGGGCGAGCGCGAGCGCGGGGCGUGGGCAGGCGGGCGCGGGCGCGGCGCGGGGGGCGGGGGCCGCGUGGCGCGGGCGAGCCGGCGGCGCGGGCGAGAGCGGGCGCGCGGGAGAGGAGAGGAGAGGCGGCGAGGGUGGCGGGGCGCCGCGUGGCGCGGAUUGCGCGCGGGGCGCGGCAAGGCGGGCGCGCGGGGCGGUGCCGCGUGGCGCGGGGAGAGGAGCGGGAGAGGAGAGGCGAGGGAGAGGAGAGGAGCGGAGAGGUGGGGCCAGGCGCCCACAGCCGAGGGGACAGGAGAGGAGGGAGGGAUUUUUUUUUUUUUUUUUUUUCGCCUCUUUUUCUCUCUUUAAUUUUUUCCCUUAAUUUUUUUUAUAUAUUUAUUCUCUUAAUAUAUAAUUAAAAAAAUUAUAAUUUUUGUAAUUCAAUCUAAAUUUUUAUUUAUUUUUAUAAAAAUUUAAAAUAUAUAAAUAUUUUUUAAAAAGUUAAAUUAUUUGUAUUAAAUAUAAAUUUUAAUUAAGCCGAAUAAAGAAUUGUUAAAAAUAUAUAAAAAAUAAUGAAGGAAAUUUACAAAUGAAACAAUAAAAAAUAAAAAAAUAAAAGGAUAAGAUAGAUAAAAGAAGAAUAGAGGCAAAAAUAUAAGACAAUAAAUCAUUUUUUCUAAAAAUUUAUAAUAUAUUAUAUAAUAAUUAUAAUAUAUAAUUAUAAAUAUAACUAUAUAUUAAUUUCUUAUUAAUGAUUAUUGCCUUUAUUUUUUUUUAAUCUUUCUUAUAAUUUAUUUUUAUAUUUUUAUUACAGUAAUAAUCUUAUUUUUAGUUAUUUUUAUAUAUUUUUGACCUAGCCCGGGGAGGGGUGAAGAGGAAGUUUUUUUUUCUUCUAUCUCAAUUGUUCCCUCAUUUAUUAUUUUUUUAAAUCCAAUUUGGGAACAGUGCGGAUGGACCCAACGGGGGAGAGAGGAGGGAGGUUUUUUUUUUUUUCCUCUAACUUCAAUUUUUUUUUUUGUUCAUGUACAUAGAAAGAAAAUUAUAUAUAUUUUUAGUCUAAUCUAAUUUUUUAUUUAUACUAUAAAAAUUUAAAAUAUUAAAAAAUUGAUAAAAAUGUUUUUGAAAGAUUGGAUUUACAUUUCCAUCCUUAUAGCUAUAAGACGAAUAAUAAUUUAAUCUCAAAUUUUUAAUGUAUUAUGAUUUAAACAAUGAGGUAUGUGAUAUUUUCAUCCCCAAUCUUUAAUUAGUUACUUAUUUUUCAGUUAUUUAUUUUAUAUAAUUUUUUGACUUUUUAUUUUGUAUUUUGUAAUUUAUUUAUUUAUUUUUAUAAAGUCAUCCCGCCGCAACGUGCAGGUCCUUCACUGGUACAUAUAUGAAACCGCAGUUACUAUACAGUGCAGCGAGGGGCGGGGGCGAGUGCGGGUAGGCGCGGGGGCGCUGUGCGGCAGGCGAGGAGCGGCGGGCGACGCGCGGGCGCGGGCGGGGCGUCCGUGGGUAGGAGGGACGCGGGCAGCGCGUGCGCGCGGGGCGGGCACCUCGGACGUGCGAGGAGCAAGCGCGCGGGGCGCUGCGCGGCGCAUGCGCGCAUGCGGUGGGGCCCAGCCGGGGAGAGAGAGUCGGCCAGGGGCAGGAGGCGGGUGGGGACGGUGGGGAGCGGAAGGAGCAGAAGGGGUGGGCCAAGGCGGGUGGGGCCCACCUCUUUUUUAUAUUUUUUUAAUUUGUUUUAUUUUUAAUUCUUUUUCUAUUAAUUUUGAAAAGCAAACUUUUUAAAAAUUUUAAUAUAAUUUUUCUACCUUAUUAUAACAAUUUAAAAUAUAUGCGUAUUUUUAAAUAGUUUAAAUUAUAUGUAUUAAAUAUAAAUUUUAAUUUUCUAGGAGAGAGAGGAGAAUUAGUUUGAAUUUUUUUUCUUAAAAAAAUCUAAGCCAAACCCUAAAUCACUGGAGGAGAGAGAGAGAGAGAGAGAGAGAGAGAGAGAGAGUAAGUGAGUGUUAAAGUAUUAUUGAUGGACUUAAAUCUCAUAUAUAGAAAAAUUUGAUAAUAAAAGUAAAAUUUGGAAAGAUUAUAUCUAUACUUUUCGUCCUUAAAACUAUAAGACGAGUGAGACUUUAAUCAUCGAACUUUAAUGUGUUAUAAUUUAAACUAUGAGGCAUGUGAUGCUUUCAUCCUCAAACUUUAAUUAAUUGUAAUUUCUGACUUGAAAUAUGAGAUAUAUCAUUUUAGUACUCAAUGUUUAUUGCUGCUAUAAAUAUAAUCUAUUAUUUCUAUGGUUUUACCCUAUUAUUUUUAUAUUUUUAUUGCAGUAAUAGCGGUUUAUCCCUUAGAUUUUUUUUUUUAUAUAAUUCAUUGACUUUUUUUUUACGUUUUAUUUUAUUUUAUUUAUUUAUUUUUACGAAAUCGUUCCGCCGCAACGCGCGGGUCCUUCACUAGUGUAAGCAUGUACGAGUGCAUGAGGUUUAUUAUUGAUAUGGAAGCAACUUUGUCUGAUGGCAUGUAAGUGAUGUACAAUUAUGCAUCUAUCAACACGUGUGAACAUCAAUUCAUGACUUAAUAAUCCUCCGCCCUAGCCUUUCAAUUUACAGUAAAACCUGAACUCUUCAGUCCUGCGUCGCUGACUAAAAGUCCUAACUUUUUAGUCCCGGGUUACUUAUGCUAGGUUGCCCUAACCUUUUGGUCCUCGGCCAAUUGUCAAUCAUGACGACUUUCAAGGAAAGGAUCACCAUACAGGUGGUUGAUCAGACCACUGAGCCGCCACAAGGGAGCAUAGCAUCAGUGUCAUGUCAUCCUGCUAUAUAUGAUCAACAAUGACGAGAGCAAUGAAAAGCCCAAAACAACGAUAAUGACAAUCUUGGCCAAAAUAAGCACCACUGCUGCUGCUACACCCAAUACCAUCAUGAUUAUGUUCAAGUUCAACUAGUGUGCUUUCCAUGGCAAGUAAAUGUAAUGACACGUCUAUGUGACUAAGCAUGCUAUCUAUCAUGAACAAAUCAAUAUAUCUAGUAAGUGUAUGAGACUAGCAAGAAUGUAAUUGCUAGGCAACUAGAUAAAUAUCUAUAAACCAAGAAGAAGGGGAUGAAAGAAAGAACCAAUUCCUUUUUGGGGUUUCACUAACACCUAUCAAGAGUUACAAUGCGUCCACAGCUUGUCAAUCAUUGCCUAGACAUAAAGAGAGCGUUAACAAGUCAUACUUUGUCACGCCCCAAUCCCCGCCAAUUUGGUCCGGUUCGGAUCACGUCAACAGACGCCUGACGGAUAGCAUCUCUCCUGUCCGCCCAAGGCUCAAACAAUAUGUAUAAUUAAACAAACAACAAAAAGAAUUUGCAAUUAUACAAGGCUUGCACGAGGGCAAGCAACAAUGGAAGCGAAAGCUCUAAGCUAAACAUACAACCAUACAUGAUAUUUGAUUAUAUUUAAACCAAAUACAAGUGAACUAAAACUAUUACAUCUUUUUUCAUUCAACCAUAAUUCUUUACCUUUUUUGUCAUUCUCCAAAAUACAUGAUAUGUUCUCAACUUUACAAUCCUAAAUCAACAAAAUAAAAGUUGAUACAUGUAGGCAAAAGGAAUGACUAAUGCAUAAGUUCCGGUGGCCACUAGCUAUGACGCAAUAUCCUUGCCUCGGUCCUCCGCCGCCCCGCUCGCGCUCGGACCUGUAGGGUUAGUGGUGUGAGAGCUGCAACAAAGUUCUCAGUGGGUUCGGCAACUGACCUCGCCGACUUACCCACUAGGUCCAAUUCAAGUAUAAGUAUUUCAAAGGAAAGAAAACUAUAACCAUUGCUAAUGCUAAUGCUAAUACUAUGCCUGCAAGAAAGAUGUUAGUGGAUAUAUAAUCGAAUAAUGAAUGCUUAUGCAUGCAUGCUUGUUCUAUACUUUACUUUAGCUUUUACCCAAUCUUGCCGGUUAACCUUGUUAACAACAAAACUCACCAUCACAAUUCCCGUCUACCGGGGGAGGCUUUAGGCUCAACCACCCGAGUGUUCAUCGACGGGGUACUUUUUCCGUGGUGUCUACACUCCGGAGUACAUCGCUUGAGGAGGAGCUACCUCCCUCAAGCCUAGUUAAUGUGAGUAUCGAUCCAAUCCUCAAUUUGAGGAUACAUAGCCACUAGUCACAAUGCCAUUGUCAUAAUAGGUUUCUACCUAUUUGAUCAUGCUACUUUCCAAGUCAUACCUGUCAUAAUGUCUCUAGGGUUAAACUAUAUUUAACAGCCAAUUUCUCAAUGCCAAUCAUGUCUCUAUUGUCAAUGUCACAUUUGUUUACUAUUGUCCAAGUCCAAAUCUCACAUUCAUACAAGUUUAGGGUUCUACCAUACAUGUCCAUUAUGGUUCUAUCAUUCUCUAUGUUCAACUACGUUAAAAGCAUGUAAAUGAAAUCCAACCAAAGUUCAUAUGUAAUUUAACCCUACUAUGCAUGAAUGACUAUCCAUCAAUAUGCUCAAUGAAAGGUGAAAUAGACAUAAAGGGAAAUCUGAUGAUUCCAGCGUGCACCCCCCACCUUGAAUUGUGUAGAAGGGUUGUAGUUCGACUCUCGCAAUUUUAGGACGCCUCUCCCGCGACCUAACACAAAAAUAAAGCCAAAUUAGGCCCUAUAUACAAGAUCUCAUAUCUAGACUUUUCGUAAUGUUAAACGGAGUUGUCCCACGCGUCGGGAAUACCCCUAAUUAGGUUUCCAAGAGGUCAAUUUAUCUCGGAAAUAACAGAAGGCAAAAGCCCCAAUUUUCAAGCCCUAACAAUGUCAUAUAGGGUUUUCUCCUAGAUUGAUCUUAUCUCUAAGCAAAUGAUAGCUUAGAAUUACCUAGGAAGCUCUCUAAUACUAUUACCAAGCCUUUCCAAACAUCUCUAGGGCAUCUAAUAUGAUCUCUAGGAGUUCACCAUAAGAGCUCUUGAGAAACACAUGGAUUUCAUGUGUUCAAGGCCUCUACAAUGAUCCUAGCCUUGCUAGAGGAUCAAAACUCCAAAUUCUAAGGUAAAAACCCAAAACCCUAGACCUACUUUCCAUAACAACUCACCUUGGCCACGAGCUCACCCAAGUCCACCUUGUUGGAGAGCCCCUAGAACCACCAAAGCCUCCAAAACCCACAUUCUCCAAGCUCCUCUUCUUCAACACUUUGCUCUAGGGUUGAGCUCUAGAGAGAGAAAGGGAAAAAUAAGACAGAAGGGUGAUAGGUGUUGUGUAAACCAGUGGGAGGGAGGUUGGGGACAUGUAUAGUGUGCUACAAUUGCAACUAGGCCCCCCAAAUAUUCUUAUUUGCAGCAGGUCAAUUUGUUGCUGCCAGACCAAAGUGUACUGGUACACGGGAUGCUGUCACCGGUAACACGAUUACGCAGAGGCAAACUCGAGAGCAAUUCUCGCAGAUUUUUUCAAAGUGUACCGGUACACACCAGGGGUGUCAUCGGUAACACAGGCAAAAUUUCUUAAAUCCGAGAGCUUCUCUGUCACGCCCCGGGACCCAGCGGAAGCCCGCCCGGCGCGUGCCCAGACCCGCCAUACGUCUAAAACGUAUAAGGCGUCUAAAAAUAACAAUAAUAAAAUCAAUAAUAAGAGACAUUUAGGAGUAUCAGAGUAUAACAAAUGUCUAAAUGCUACAACCAGGGAUAAGGAUAAAACUGUAAAUCUACUAAAUAAAACAUAAAGUGAUACAAGGAAAUCCCAGAUACAAGUGCUAUAGGUAGAUACAUAGGUGGUCUCUAUACAUGGAUACAAAAACCUCUCACUCUCUCAACUACAAAAGAAAGAGUAAACCACCUGGGCAAAGUAGCGCUCCUCGCUAGCUAGCUAAGCGAUCUCCUUGCCGCGAUCCCGUGCCUCCGCCGGUGCCGAAGGCUCUGAAAAGUAAACCAUAAAACAGGGGCGUGAGAACUAUUAAAAUAGUUCCCAGUGGGUAAUUACUGACUUCAGUGAAUGCGCCACGAGGCCCAAAGCUACAAAAGAUGUCAGUGACUAUAAAAGUGGAAAAGCGAAAGGUAAGUAAAAAUGUAACUUACUACAACAUGAUAUCUCUACUUAGCAUAAUUAGCAUAAGUAUGAAGCAACUAUGCAUGAAGUAAAAGUCUCCAACUAUCAUAAUGAUCACAAUGCGAAAUAGUAAAGUUCCACUGUUUACUAUUCUAGUCAAUGUCCAAGUAGUACACUAAGUCAUCAUCUGUCCACAUGUCGUAAUGAAUACUUAAAGUCAAAUCUGAAGAGACCCACCCGAAGGCUGUCUAUGGCCCUGAGACCCACCCGUAGGCUGUCUGGCCGAUGCUGAGCCUAGUGGCCUCGUGGUAGUCAUCAUCCCCACCCUAGGAAUGAGCCUGGCCCACGGCAAUCCACUUCGGCGCCCAAUCCCGCACGGCGAAUAUAAAUCGCGAUGGCCAUCUCCGGAGUGCCGGCUUGUAGGGAGCGACCCUCACAAGCAUGUGCGAAUGAGCACAAUGGCAAGUAGUCGUAUAUCCUAUCACAAGUACCAAGUCCUCAUGUUUAAUAACAUAGAAUGUAUCGAAUGUCCCAAAGGCCUGUCUCUAUGUCAUCAUGUCUCUAACAUGGAAUAUAUGGCAGAUGUACAAUGGCCUAUCAUCAUGUCUCUAAGUUGCAUUUUCAUAGUUUACUAAUUCCAAGUGCCCCUUUAUGACACUUUUGUUCAACGAGUCCCAAGCAUGGCAUUAAUAUGUUCAUGAUNNNNNNNNNNNNNNNNNNNNNNNNNNNNNNNNNNNNNNNNNNNNNNNNNNNNNNNNNNNNNNNNNNNNNNNNNNNNNNNNNNNNNNNNNNNNNNNNNNNNNNNNNNNNNNNNNNNNNNNNNNNNNNNNNNNNNNNNNNNNNNNNNNNNNNNNNNNNNNNNNNNNNNNNNNNNNNNNNNNNNNNNNNNNNNNNNNNNNNNNNNNNNNNNNNNNNNNNNNNNNNNNNNNNNNNNNNNNNNNNNNNNNNNNNNNNNNNNNNNNNNNNNNNNNNNNNNNNNNNNNNNNNNNNNNNNNNNNNNNNNNNNNNNNNNNNNNACUCAUAGCCACUAGUCACAAUGCCUAUGUCACGAUAGAUCUCUACCUAUUCAUUCUUGCCACUCUCAAGGCUUUACCUUUGACGAUGUCAAAAUGAGUUAAACUAUAUUUAACGGUUCAUCUCUCAAUGCAAAUCUUGUUUCUAUGCCAAUGUCACCCUUGUUUUCUAUUGUCCAAGUCCAAACUCACAUUCACACAACUUGAGGGUCCAAUCACACAUGUCCAUUUUGGUUCUAUCAUCCUCUAUGUUCAACUACGUUAGAAGCAUAUAAAUGAAUUCAAACCAAGUUCCACAUGUAACUACCCUACUAUGCAUGAAUGGGUAUAUAUAUAAAUAUAUAUGCUCAAAAAUAGAAAAAACAGACAUAGAAAGGAAUCCAACGAUUCCGGCGUGCACUCCCCACCUCUAUUGGUUGUGUGGGUGUAGAUUACGAAGGCUCCCGCACUUUACGAAAGCCGAUUCCGAGCCCUAUAAUCAAAAUAGUGCCAUAUUAGGCCCCUUUGUACAUGAGCUAUACUCUAAUAUUUUCGCAACGUUGAACGGAGUUGUCCAACGUGUUUAGGGCACCCCCAAUUAGGUUGCCACGGGGUCAAUUUGUCCCCGAACAAUCCUAGGGCAAAAGCCCCAAAUUCAAGCCCUAAUAUUGUCAUUUAGGGUUUUUCCCAUGAAUCGAUCCCAACCUUAAGCAAACAAUCGCUUAGGAUCAACUAAGAAGCACUCUAGUAAGGUUUCUAGACCUUUGGUACCAACCCUAGGGCUCCAAACACCACUUCCAAGGAUUCACCAUGAGAGCACUUUGAGCUCUCAUGGGAACCAUGGUGUACAUGGCUCAAAAGAGCCUUUAAUGCCUCUAGGGAGCACAAAGCUCCCAUUUUCAAAGCCAAAAUCCAAACCCUAGGCUUAUUUCUACCAAAAACUCACCUUAGCCCAAGCUCCUCCAAGUCCCUCUUGUAGGAGAGCUUGUAGAACCCACCAAAGCCUCCAAAUCCACCUUCCCUUGCUUCUUCUUCUUCUUCCCCAAGCCCUAGAGCAAGAGUUCUAGAGAGAGAAAGAGAGGAAAUGGGAGAGAAGGGUGAAAAUGGCUGUGGGAGAGAGGGGAUGAGUCAUAUAUAGUGUUGUAACAAUUGCACUUAAGCCCCUCCACUUGUUUCCUCUUGAACUGCCCAGAUUGGGCAUUUUUCGCCUUCGGGGAUCGGUCUCCCCCACCAGGGACCGGUUCCCGAACGUGGGUGUUCCAGGACUUAGCCAAAUUUUUGAGUUUUUCAGCUGUUGCGCAGCGAGGGAUCGGUCUGCCCGUCAGGGACCGGUCUCCCGAGGACCGGUCUCACUAUUAGGGACCGGAUACCUCAGGAUUUCCUGGCAGGCUACGCGCACGAGGACCGGUCUCUCCUUCAAGAAUCGGUCCCCGAGAGCUCAAAAUCUGGGACUUAGCCAGAUUUUCGGAUUUGCUCUCCCGGGCCCCUUUAGCCUCAUUUAUGGACUCUAAUACACUUAGGGUCCACUUUAACUCGUCCCACUCCAGGUUUCGCUCGUUUUGACGGAACUCGGCACGUCCUACAAGGGACGUGGUAUGUUACAUUCUCCACCCCUAAAAUUUAGUUUCGUCCGCGAAAUUACUUAUUCAGAGUCCAUACCUCAAUUCGACUCGUCGAAGAGUUGAGGGUGGCGCUCCCGCAUCUCGCUCUCGAGUUCCCAAGUUUCCUCCCGAUCACCGUGCUCACUCCAAUGAAUUUUAACAUAGGGAAUUUCCCGGUUCCUUAACUUUCUCACUUCCCGAUCCACGAUGUAAGCCGGGAACUCCUUAUAAGUCAUAUCAUCUUGGAGCUCUAUAGGUAUAUACGAGAGAAUAUGAUCCGGGUCGUAGACAUACUUGCGGAGUUGGGAUACAUGGAAUACGUCAUGCACUCUCGCAAGCCUGGGUGGUAAUGCCAACUUGUAGGCUACCACGCCAACUCGUUCCAAAAUCUCGAAGGGUCCGAUAUAGCGGGGACUUAGCUUCCCGCGUACACCAAACCGCNNNNNNNNNNNNNNNNNNNNNNNNNNNNNNNNNNNNNNNNNNNNNNNNNNNNNNNNNNNNNNNNNNNNNNNNNNNNNNNNNNNNNNNNNNNNNNNNNNNNGUCUCGAUCUGAUACUAUAGAAGUAGGUACCCCGUGCAAUCGCACAAUCUCGUCCAAAUAUACCUGUGCGAGCUUCUCUCCGGUCCAAGUAGUAUGAAUAGGCACGAAGUGCGCCGACUUCGUCAACCUAUCCACGAUCACCCAAAUAGGGUCAUGCCCGGCCUGUGAGCGAGGCAGUCCCAUCACGAAGUCCAUGGUGAUCUUUUCCCACUUCCACACUGGAAUCGGUAGGCUCUGCAAUUUUCCCGCAGGAACUCGGUGUUCAGCCUUCACUUGUUGGCAAGUUAGGCAUCUGGCAACAAACUCACCAACAUCCUUUUUCAUCCCGGGCCACCAGUAAAGUAACUUCAAGUCCUUGUACAUCUUGGUGCCUCCCGGAUGUAUAGCAUACGGUGCUCGGUGUGCUUCUUGAAGAAUGUCUUCUUUAAUGUCCAAGUCCGCCGGUACACAAAGUCGUCCGCGGAAACGCAUCAAUCCAUACCAUCUAAAGUGAAGUCACCGGUGUAACCAUCAACCAUCUUAGCUCGAAUCUUUUGCAACUCCGAGUCGGAAGCUUGCUUUUCUUUAAUCCUUUCCAAAAGUGUAGGUUGCACCACCAACGUCAUCAGUCUCAAAGGUGUAUCAGGAGCUACCACCUCCAACUCCAACCGCUUCAUCUGCUCGACCAACGGCGGUUGAGUAACCACAAGCAUUGCUAAGUUCUCAGUCGAUUUCCGACUUAGCGCAUCCGCCACCACGUUAGCCUUGCCCGGGUGGUAAAGUAUCGUCAAAUCAUAAUCCUUAAGUAGCUCCAACCAUCUGCGCUGCCUCAAGUUCAACUCCUUCUGAGUGAAAAGAUACUUCAAGCUCUUGUGAUCCGUAUAUACUUCACAACGCUCGCCAUAGAGGUAAUGGCGCCAUAGCUUCAAUGCAAAGACCACGGCCGCCAACUCCAAGUCGUGAGUGGGGUAAUUUCUUUCAUAAUCCUUCAAUUGGCGAGAAGCAUACGCGAUCACUUUCCCGUCCUGCAUCAGAACACAGCCCAACCCAUUAAAAAAAGCAUCACUAUAAAUCACAUACCCUGCUCCAGCAGUCGGCAAGGCAAGGAUUGGGGCAGUUGUCAAUCGCUGCUUCAACUCUUGGAAACUCCUUUCACACGCAUCAUUCCAAACGAACUUCGUUCCUUUAUGCGUGAGCCUCGUGAGGGGAGUAGAUAACUUCGCAAAUCCCUCGACGAACCGUCGGUAGUAGCCGGCCAAACCAAUGAAGCUCCGUAUCUCGGUCACGCUCGUCGGCCUCGGCCAAUCCCUGAUAGCUUUAAUUUUCCUCGGGUCCACGGCUAUGCCUGAUCCUGAAAUCACAUAGCCCAAAAAUGCUACCUCUCUGAGCCAAAACUCACACUUUUUCAACUUGGCGUAGAGCUUCUUUUUCCGAAGCACUUGAAGUACAAGUCUCAAGUGUUCCUCGUGAUCCGCGUCACUCCGGGAAUACACUAAGAUGUCGUCGAUAAACACCACAACGAAUCUGUCUAAAUAAGGCUUGAAGACACGGUUCAUCAGAUCCAUAAAAGCUGCCGGGGCAUUAGUAAGCCCAAACGGCAUAAUGGUGAACUCAUAAUGUCCAUACCGUGUUCUAAAAGCCGUCUUUGACACAUCCUCAGGUCUGAUCCUCAACUGGUGAUAUCCCGACUGCAAGUCAAUCUUGGAAUAUACACAAGAUCCCUGGAGUUGAUCAAAUAGAUCGUCGAUCCUCGGCAAUGGGUACUUGUUCUUGAUCGUGACUUUGUUAAGUUCACGAUAGUCCACGCACAAGCGAAGUGAUCCAUCCUUCUUCUUCACAAACAAAACUGGUGCUCCCCACGGUGACACACUCGGUCGCACAAAACCCUUAUCCAGGAGGUCCUGCAACUGUGCCUUCAGCUCCUUCAAUUCUGCUGGUGCCAUCCUAUAGGGCGCCUUUGAGAUUGGAGUAGUCCCGGGAACGAGAUCCUACACAAUAACUCAAUCUCCUAUCAGGUGGCAUGCCUGAAGCUCCGCCUGGAACACAUCUCCAAACUCCCGCACUACGGGGAAUAUCCUCAAUCUAGGUGGUGUCGUCCAGAGUGCCGCAGACAGCAUCAGUAGGCCAAGUAGCAACGCAGCCUCUACUAUCAACAUUGUCUGAGCUCGAGGAAGAGCUAAUCGUCAUCGCAAACACGAACUCUGGCAUCCUCAGGUAUACAACCUCCGCCGUUGCCCCGGCUCGUCUGAAACGUCACCGUUCGAUCCUUGCAAUCGGAUAGUGGCGUAGUUUACAUAGGUCAACCCAUUCCAUGCCCAACACUACAUCAACUCUCCGAGUUUAUGGCAACGCUAACAAUGUCCACGGGCUAUGAUCAAUCUGCCAAUCUAACAGGGAACUGCGGGCCAAAACUUCCCGGAUGUCCAAAGGAGUAUCGGGUACAGUAACUCGUCCCCGGAUGCAACUCAAGGAACAAGUGGGAUGCAUGCAGCUCGGCAAAACAGCCGAUCAAAAUGAAUGAAUGCGAUGCACCGGUAUCAAACAAAGCUCUAACUCGACAAAUACCAUGAAGUAAAUGAUACUAGCGACCACAUUCCUCGGUACCGCCGCCUCCUCAGUCUGGACGCGUACAUGCGCCGUCGGGGCCCUGUCGUGAACACCCUCGUCUGCGCUGACUGGCGGUCGCCCUCUGGUUGAUGCGCAGAUAGAGGUCCCCUGGCUGGGACCCGCCGAUGCUGGUGCGAUGCGAAGAUGGCGCUGGCAACGGACUCCUCGGGCAGUCCGACUUGGAAGUGGCCCUCGGGCACACCAAGAGCACUGCCGGCUGGUGAACACUACCUCGGUAAUGAGGACCGCCACAAGAUAACGCCAGCGGGGGGCCCUGCGACGCUCGGGUUCCUCCUCGCUGAGUAGUGGCACGUCUCAGCGACUGGCUCCUUGCCUCCUGGGAGCUCGGCUGGCCUCCGGUUGGGUGCGUUAGACUCGCACCCUCAGCCGCGAGCCUCUUUGCCUUUCCUUUCUCCAAGCUCUCGCGACCUCCUGCCCAGAAUCCCGCCGCCCCUGCCUCCACUUAUCAAGCUCGAUCCACAACCUCCCGAUAAGUCUGGAGGUUGGAAGACUGCACCAACCGGAAGAUAGCAGGCCGAACCGCCUCAAAGAUGCGCGCCUUGUCCUCGUCGUCCCUGCAACACGAACGGUACACGUGUAGUAUGCGAAGAGAAUCUCUCUCAGUACUCAGCCACUUGACCGCUCGUCUGGCGCAAGCUGUGCAAAUCCUGCUCCAUCUUCCUCCUUGACGCUGGUAGGGAAAGUUUGCGCCAGUAGAGCUCCUUGAAUCGCGUCCAAGUAAUGCCGCCAAGUCGGUUGUUGGGGUUGUCCUGGCAUACCAACACCAACGCGUAGCCUCUGCCGUCCAGAAAGUGUUAGUGGCGAGCCAAAACUCUGUCCCGCUCCUCCACAAAAGUGUUCGAAACAGUUUCUAUGCAUCAACCAUCUCACAAUCAGUGGUCGAGCGUUCUUGCAUCAAACAUCCUCGCGGCCUGCCCACCUCCUGAACUCACUGAGGCGCCAUGAGCCGAAUCCCGCCUCGCUCCCGUCGGCCAUCACGCGUUAAAUGCCGCCGUCGCCGUCUCUGAACAGGUAGUUGCGCAGCCACCUCUCCGAGGUGCGGGUCGCCCGGUGCCGCACGUGUAAGAACUGGGCGGGGGGACUGCGGCCCCUUGGUGCGAAUCCACCACAGCGUGCUUGGUGGUGUGGGGCCUGGGUCUCCUCCGAAGCUGCCGCUGCCCUCCUGCUGAAGUAGGAGGGCCUCAGAUUGCUUCAUCCGCGCUCCUUGCGCUGAUCCACCUCGGCCUGUCGCUGCGCCGCUGCCCGUCUGCUGUGCAACUAGAACAGUUGAGAACCGCAGCUGGGCCUCAAGUCACGGACCUCACUCGGAUCCGGAAGUAGCAGAGGGUCUCGACCCCUCGGGAAGUUGACCAGCAUCACUCCGCCCGAGACUCGGGAGCGAGUACAUCCUGGCGAUCGUCACUACAGAACAUUAAAAGGCAAAGUUAGUUAACCACGCAUCGCAUCCCGCGCAAGAGGAUAAAACUCCAAAUCAUUGCCGAAAGUAAGGAAGUGUCCUUGCAUACUAACUCCGAAUGUAUACGUUGUCCGGCGCAACGUAACCCUCCAGCUGGAAGUUAGAAGCCAUACACUCCAAUCAAACUUUAACUCUUUAAGUUGUCAUAAACCCCAUAAUCAUUAAUACUUUCGCUCACAGUCAAUUAAGACCCCGUCUCUCACGAGCCCUAAUCCUAUUGUCCAACGCCUAAAGUUCGGCUAGAUCCACUAAAAGACUCAACCCUUAGGCUCUGAUUACCAAAUUAAUCAUGUCACGCCGGGUACCGGCGGCAGGCCUCCGGCUAGCGUGUCCCAGACCCGCAUAUGUCUACAACAGUAAUAAGGCGUCUACAAUAAAAGCGGAAGUAAACGGCAAGCAGUAAGAACAAAUUUUAGAAGAAGUUGAAAUGACUAAAACUAAAUGAUAUCAGAGCGCAUGUAAAGUAUCAUAAAUCUACACCAAUAGUAAUAGAAAAACUUAAACACAUAAAGUAAACAUAUUAUACAGUAUCAGCUCUAUACAAAAAUGGUGGUCAACUAAUACCUGCGUAGAACUCUCAACUCUCCAAAAUAAAACACAACGAGAGGUAGACCACAGCGAAUCAGUCUACGGAAGGAAGCUAGCUCGAAGCACACUCCCUCCGCGCGGCUCCCUUGGGCCUCACCCUGAGGCGAAGCUCUGAAACAUCGAGAAAGAAGAGGCUGAGAACUUAAUUUAUAGUUCCCAUGGGCAAUUUACUGACUAGCUCUGUCACUAGGCCCCAAAAACAAGGGUAAAGUAAUGCUAUAGUAAUUAGCAAUAGAAAGGAAGUAUGCUAAAUCAACUGCUGAAAGAGAGUGCAUAAGUAAAUUGCAUAUUACUAAUAUAUCCCUAAUAGACGAUAGUCAAAAUAUUGUACUUAUAUUCCAUAUCAUAGGAAAAGAUAACCAAUGACAAUAAUUUACUAAUACAACCUUAUUUCAAACCAUGAUGUAUAAGACCUCUAUCGUGGAACCAAGUAUACUUGUGAUAGAAAUAGGUAACUGUAAGUUACUAACAUGUCUCAACCCUAUGCAUAUAUGCAUGUAAAUGCUACCUCCAAAACUACUAAUGGCCUACUAGUAGGGAGUGUUCAUUUUCAACUGUGUCGAUUUCCAUUUCCAAUUAGGGACCUACAAGGUAGUUCCAAGCUUGUGCCACCUAAGGCCUGUGGUAUAGCCCGACAUUCCUACUCAUGGAAUGUGUCUGUCCCACUCGACCCCGUACGCUUCUCGAUACGCAACUGAGCGAAAUAAGGUCGAUAGGACUACUCCGGAGUGCCAGCGUAGGAGCGACCCUCACAGGCAUGUGCGAAUGAGCACAAAUUUGAGCAAGCAAGCAAAGUCCAAAAGUCUCAGAAUAUCAAAUUCUCAAUGUCAUCUAACAUGCGUAAAGUCACUAGCAUCCGAAGAUCUGUUUAAAAUCACAAUGUGACAGUCUUCAACAUUUUGCCACGCCUAGUGGCCCCUUAAUGACACUUAGGCAAUUUGUGUGUCGACUAUGUAUCCAAAGUCCCUCGAUGCCACUAUCCACUAGGUUCACACAUGUCCCGGAGCUACAAUGCCGCUUGAUGACAUAUAAGCUCUCUAAUUCACAAUGACUUCUAAAUGACAAUCUUGUCAAUUUUCAGUCACAAGUAAACUUAGGUUUAAAUGCAUGAAUGCCACUCAUUUUACUAUAGAAGCAUGCGAUACACGUCUCACAUGAAUGCUAAAUGCAACUUGGCCUAAUAAGCUACUUCUUCUACUACAUAAGAGGUCACAAAAUUUUUUAUACAUAACAUUAGGCCUUUUAAGCAUUCUAAAUUUCACAUAUAAAUACAUAUACACAGAAUAUGCAAUGCUUUUUAUUCUAACAACACUUAAAUUAUAGCACAAAUGAGAAUUUGCUCAAUUGUGUGGCUUCAGGUCAAAACCCACCGAACCGUUCGCGGUAGAGCUCGCCUGCCGAACCAAGUUUGUCGCGGGAGAGUCUCAAAAUACCCUAAAAGUAAAUCAGCGAAGUGAUCGAGGCAUUACGAUCAUCAUAUAAGAUCAAGUUUUACCUAGAAGCAAAUAGCGCAAACUCGCCUCAAGAGCAGAAAUCUCUUCAAAAAAUCUAAAGAGAGAUAGAACCUUCCCAAUCCAAGCCCUAGGAGAGGUUUUAGACCAUUCAAUUUUAGCGCCAAAACGCCCAUAGAUCAAAAAGCCCAAAACCACCCUAAAUCUCAUUUCUAGUGUUUUAAAAAAGCAAAAAGCUUCCAAACUUAAGACUCUAGAGGCGAGGAACCUUGCCACCAUACCUCUUAGGAUGCCUCCAAAUCCAAGCUCAAAAUCUUCUAGGGGUGAAGAUUGGUCCAACCACCAAGCCCUUUCAAGCAAACGCUCCAAGCCUUGCAAGGUGGGAAAAGAGAGAAAAGGUUGGUUGAGCUCCUAAGCUCCUCCAGCUAGCUCCUCUUCUCUUCGCUACUCUUUUCUUCUCUCUCUAGAAAGUGUGGGAGAGCGCGUGAGAAUGAGAGAAAUGGAGAGGGAAGAGGAUGGAAUAGGCUAAUAAGGCCCAUUAGCUGUAACAAAAUCCAGAGAGGCCCCCUCAAAUAAUCAAUAUUGCAUCAGACCGAACCUGGGCAGUUUCGCCCAGAGGGACCGGUCUCUUCCAGCCAGGGACCGGCUCUCGCGCCGGGUGCGAACCCGAAAACAGCGUUCGGGACCGGUCUCUCCCGUGCCCGGACCGUCUCUCACUGCGAGAACUAGCGACUGGGAAACCGGUCUCGCCUGCCAGGGACGGUUGCUCAGGCUUGCCUCAAACACUUGGCCAUGGAGGCGACCGGUCUCUCCUUUCAGGGACCGAUCCCCGGAGAGUAAAAACUCUCAGGAUUUGUCCAGAAAUUCCAGUUUCGACUUUUAGGUCGGAAAAACAUUUACAACCUCACUAAGUGUGGAAAAAAAGCUCGAAAAUACAUUCACAACACUCGAACCUCGCAAUUUGCCAAAGUCGUCCCAGUGUGCUUACAUUAGAUAUCCUGGUAGUAGGAGUAGAGUACUUCUAGGUCGCUCCAUAUCGUUGACCUAUCUUGGUCUGUGGAUCCGAUCUGUACCUAGUUACGCGUCGCUUCUGCAUUCCUCUACUCAGUUAUCCAUAUUGAUAAAUCAUGCUUUAGGAGUAGGUUGAGUUAUCGUGUUCACUUAUCUGUGAUUUGGUUGGCGGUCCCUUAUUUUGAUAUCUAUGACCUAUUCGGUCGAGUUGCUACACUUCAUAUCUUAACAUACGUAGCCGAUAGUUUGCUGGGCCUAUACGGUCGGCGUGCUGUGGCCCUGAGGGGCGAAUUGCUCGGCUAGUUGCCGAUGGAUGAUCGUUGAGCAUCUUCAUUGAUCGCCAUUGCAGGUACGCAUUUUCACGAACACCAGCGGUCUGAUCCAACGCAAGAGGCUGUUCUUUCGGAAAGUGGUUGGAUUGCAACCCGUGAGCCCAGGGCUUUAUUGCGGCGGUAUAUGCUUCUGACCCAGGGGCUUCAUUGCCGAGCGUCAAGGUGCAGUUGAGCAGAGUUGGCAUGGGCCUGAGGGUCUAUCGGACCAAUCGGGGCAGCCGAGAUUGGGUACUGUUUUGAGCUUAUCGUGCAGUUACGCAUGCAUACAGUAGCUGUGUUAGUGUUUAUUUUAGUACAUCCUAUCGUUUAUUGUAAGCUAAUGUUUUAUUUACUGUCAUCUAUAUCUUGUCAGCUCCUUACUGAUCAGCAUCUUUAUUACCAGCACUUAUGUCUAUCUAGUUCUUCCGGUGUUGUUGUAUAGCUUUCUCCUGAUCCGAGUGUAGUACUCCUCGCCCUUCUUCGGCUUCGUACCCACUGGGAGGGGAGGACAUGUUUACAUGUUCUCACCUCCCCUAUAUUUUGCAGGCUAUCGCGGCCGAUGAGUAGUGGGACGAGACGUGAGGUACGUGUGUAGCGCGUUCGAUUAGAGCUUCCCGACCCAGGUUAUUUCGAUUUAGUUAUUAUCCUUGUAUUUCUGUUGAUAUACAGUUUAGUUAGUUUAUGUGGUUCAGUAUUUAUUACAUUUAAAUGUGGAUUUCUGGAUUUUGUAAAAUAAAAGGUUUUCUACCCCUCGUGGUAGCGUUUUUAAAAGAAUAAAGGUUUCUGUGUAGGAAACGGUUUUCAAAAGAUUUUUGUGGAUUUCUGUUUAAACCUUGAAUGUAAAAACUGUAAUGUGAAUGGUGAAUGUAUGAAUGUAUAGUUAUCUUUAUAUUCAUCUGGUUGUGGUUGUAUCCUGGUUGUACUGUGUAUUUGAUCGACGCCGUGCAAAUACAGGGGAGACUCUGUCCGUGUGAACAGUGGAUUCCCUGUAUUUGUGGCGGAUCUGGCAUACUCUGGGGUCAGGUUUUCAAAAAAAAAUUUUCAGACGCUUUUUCGCUUUGUUUUAAAUUGAAAAGGGAUCCCGGGGCGUGACAAUAAAAAUCAGGAUAAGUAUUCUGUAGGCCUCACAAAUUAAACUACUGAUAAAAUCAAAUUUUUUUUUCCAAUUUGUCUGAACUCUGUUCUACAGGCUUAAAAUUCAAAGAAAGAAAGGUGCCCCCAAAAAAAAGAGCAUGCCCCUCAGUUGCAGUAGUUUUUUGCACCACAAAAUGGAAAAGAGGAAUACUUCAAUACACCAUAUAAAUUUUGACUAUUUAUUUUUCUUAAUGGAUGAUUUAGAUUUAAUAUGAUUCUAGAGGUGAACUGCUAUUGAAGCAUAGGUACCAUUCACCAAGUACCUAUUUAAAAGGUAUUUUAAUCUUUAUAAAAUAGUUUGGUCCACAAAAUCAGUUUUAUCCAACUAAGAAUAUUGUGACCAUCUUAAAUACCUACAACAAUAGUUGAAUUUCAAAUUACAACCAAACUGUAAAUUUAAAUUCAAAACAACAUUUAAAACUUUAUAAAUCAAAUUCAAUUUUUUUGAAUAUAAAACAUAGAUUUAAAAUAAAACUUUUAGUUCCAAUUCAAAAUUUCAAUUUAAAUAAAAAAUUAAAAAUUUGGCUUUAAAAUUAAAAGUUUGAUUUAGAUUCAAAUUUAAAAGUUUAAUAUAAAUUUCAAAAUAAAAAUUUUACAUUACAAUACCAAUUUCAAAAAUUAAAUUUAAAUUCAAUAUUUUUUUGAGCUAGAUACUUAACAAAUUAGGUAUCAUCUAAUUUGGUAAGUUAUCAAAGUAAAUAAGAUAUUUAAUAUUUAAAGGAUGCUGACAAAUUUGGUAUAUACUAAUUUUUUUUUUCAAUAUUGUCAUGUUAAUUAAUUCAAAUCGGUAACCUGUUCAAUAGGUUACUUCAUGUAAAUCUCAACUAUACCCUUUACUAAUUAAGAAAUUAAAUUUUAAUAUUUAUGAUGUAUUGAAGCAUUAAUUCCUCAAUGGGAAAAGGUGUUAGGUUAACAAAAAAAAAAAAAGGUCUUCACUAAAUCCAAUCGAUAGAGUGCAAUAUAAUUUAUUGCUUAUGAUCGAGCGACAGAUUCUGAUAAUUAACCGGCCUAAAUUUACAUUGUUCGUCGGUCUCCACAGUUUGUUCCAUCAAUGUAAAAUCGAUCGGAUCCAGAAGAGACUCCGUUUUAUAGCUAUCCUAGAUGUAUAUAUAGUGAUAUUAACCAAGGAUCGACGAAGUUGUUCCUCUAAUUAAAAUUUCCCAGGAAAUGCAUGUUUUCUAGUGUUUAACCACUGUUUCAAUCAAACCCUAUUGUUUUCUUUAACAACUAAUUGUAUUAUCAAUUGGCAGGGAAUUAAAAAGAUUGAAUAUUAAUUGCUGCUACGUACGUCAACCUCCGGAAGUAGAUCAAAAUAAAAUCUGAACAGUUGAAGCAAAUCACUUAUGAAAUGUCUAGCUAAUUUAAGACUACGCACAGUAUUAAUUAUUAUACAUAUUGAUUUGUGGAUCAUGACCAACACGAUUUUCUUAAAUAAUUUAAGGUUAUUUUAUGACAUUAGCCAGUUUCCUAGACGGUUAUUUAUUUAUUUAUGACCAUUAAAUUAUUGGAAUAUUUACAUAACUACUAAAUUUGAAUAUAAAUUUCGAUAUUGACAAAAUUUGAAAUGUGGUUUAUAAUUAAUUGUUGUAAAGUAGAAUAUUUGUAGUUGUUUGAUAUUCUCAAUUAGCCAGAAUCAACGGAGAUGGAUGUCGUUACGAUUACUGCGAAUCUAAUUUUAAUUAUGUGUAUUUACAACUGUAUUCAAUUAAAUGAUCUCCAAAGGGAUUAAACCACUGCUCGGAAUUGCUACGGACUAAAUCAAAUGUGACGAGAAGGUAUAUAUAUAUAAGAUAGAAAAAAUUAUAUUUGUUUUAAUAAUGUAUCUUCCAAAUUACACCAAUUUAGUGAAGACAUAAUUUUCAUAUAUAUUUUUAUUAGAAUAUUAAAAAAUAUUAUUAUAAAUUGUGCUCUAAGCUGUUUUUUGUUGCAAUGAUAAUAUUUUAAACGACACUGUGUACCCAAAUACCGUACCCGUGCACUCUAAUAAAUAGAUGUAGAUGGUACUACGUAAGAGUUGUGAUAAGGUGAAUCACAUUGAUUGCCUCUAUCCUUCCGUAUGGUAGGUGAGCAUGCUCUCCUAACCCAGUUCAAACGUCAUAAUUUAGUUAAUUAUUAACUUUACAUCAUAGUUAGUUAAUUCGGACUCGGCAAAAAUUCAGUAUGAAAAUAAUUCGGAUAAAAUUCAUCUUUUAAUUUUUAAAUUCGUUGAAAAAGACGGCUAAAAACGAAUUUGGUAAUUAUUCAGAUACGCAAUUUAUACGGAUAUUAUACGUUCACCAAUUAAAAAUUCGAAAUAAAAAAUUCGGCUAUAUAAUAAAUAUAUAAUAAUUAAUAUACUAUAUAUAUUAUAAUUAUCAUAAUUUUUAUAUAUAGAUUAAAUAUAUUCAAAAUUAUAAUAAAUAUAUAUUAAUAAUAUAUAAGAGUUAUAUAUUUAGAAAUAUUAAUAAAUAAUUAUAAAUUUAUAAAUAAAAUAUUAUAUAUUUAUAAAUUAAAUUAUAUAACGGUGCUUGUAAAAGCACCAAGUAUUUAGUGCUUGUAAGUUUUUUACCGUUAGAUCUACUUUUCGGAUCAUUUUCAAUUGUUAGAUUAUACUAUUCAACAAACCACCCACUAAACCAUAGGGGACCCACAUCAUCUUAACCGCAUAUCUUUUAAUCCAAUGGCUAAAAAUCUACAAGCACCAAUAUAUAUAUAUAUAGCAGGGCUGCUGUGCUCUCAGGAGCACGGAGGCCUCCGUGCUCCUGAGCCGUUUUCGUUGAUGGAAUUUUCGAAUCGACGAUCGGCUCCGUUAGACUUGAUCUAGCGCAUUUGAAGUUUCUAGAAAAUAAUUUUUGCGAUUUUUUGAUAUCAUUUACCUAGUAAUUGAAAGGAUUCAAAAUUCAUAAUUUUUAAUGGUUGAUAUCUGCCGUUUUCAAGUUUAAUGGUGUAGAAAUAUUCAAAUCAGAUGAAAUUUUGAUACAAAAUUCUUUAUAUUAUCUACAACAAGAUCAAUAUUUUUCAUCGAAAGUUUUAGUGCUAUAUCACCACUUUUUAUAGGAUUUUUAUUUUCAGCCGUUAAAAAUUAUUGAUUUUAAAUCCUUUCGAUUGCUAGAUAAAUGAUAUUGAAAAAUCGCAAGAAUUAUUUUCUAAAAACUUCAAAUACGCUAGAUCAAGUUUAACGGAGCCGAUCGUCGAUUCGGAAACUCCAUCAUCGAAAACGGCUCUGGAGUACGGAGGCCUCCGUGCUCCUGAGAGCACAGCAGCCCUGCUCAUAUAUAUAUAUAUAUAUAUAUAUAUAUAUAUAUAUAUAUAUAUAUAUAUAUAUAUAUAUAUAUAUGUAAUGACUAAUGAGAAGACCUCCCUCUCAUACUGUCCACGAGGCUGAAGUGGCCUCGUUGACCGCGCACGAUUCAUGCCUUCAAAGCCGAGAUUUUUUUCACUGUUCCUCUUCCACUUUUCCGCGAACGGCCUCGGGCGAGAUGGCAUCUGCCGCCGCGGCUCUUGCUCCCGCACCGGCCAGGGCUGCAAAGGAGGAGGAGGACGACCCGGAUGAGUUCGGCGAUGAGAGCCACGACGACGCGACCCUCGGCCGCGAAUCCGCGACCACAAGGGCGGCGAUGACGCGACCCUCGGCCGCGAAUCCGCGACCGCGAGCGCCUUUUUCUGGUCGAAUCAUUCGCGAAUCGCGAAUAAUUCGCGAAUAAUUAUUUUUGACGAAAAAAUCACGUUUUUUUUUUUAACUUUUCGAAAAAAUACGAAAAGGGGCCGUUUGAUUCGUAUCUUAAAAAAUUCACGUAUUAAUCACGAAUUAACUAACUAGGCUUUACAUCAAAUAUAUCUCAGGUGCCUGUUUAGUUUUUUUUUUUUUUAUCUCUUUAUGUUUUAAAAAUCUUUAUAUUGCCUCUUUAAACUUUGCAGUUCAAAGCUUAAUUAUUUUACAUCUCAAAUUAAAUUAAUUUUUUUCAAAAAAAAACUAAACAGGCACCUAACAUGCUAAUAUAUAUAUAUAUAUAUAUAUAUAUAUAUAUACAGUUAGGGUGGUAUACUAUCGGUAGCACGGAGGCCUCCGUACUUUCAAGUUGUUUUCAAUGAUACGGCUUCCAAAUCGACGAUCGGCUCCGUUAAACUUGAUCCACACUAUAAAAAAUAUUUGAAAACUAAAUUUCAUAAUUUUUCGACAUCAUUUGGCUAGUGAUCAAAAGGUCUUAAAAUUGACAAUUUUAAUGGUAGAUAUGAUGCAUUUGUAAAUUUAACAGUGUAAAACAAUUCAAAUCAAAUGAAAUUUUUAUAGAAAAUUUUUUUUACUAUUUGUAGUAAGAUCAGUACCUCUGAUCUUAAAUUCAAGUUUUCUAUUAUCAUUUUUUAGGAGAUUUUUAUUUUCAGCCAUUCAUUUUUAGACUACACUUUUGAUAGGAAUGAUACCGAAAAAUUAUGAAAUUUAGUUUUUAAAUAUUUUUAAUAGUGUAGAUCAAGUCUAACGGAGCCGAUUGUCGAUUUGAAAGUGGCAUCAUUGAAAACAACUUGGUAGCAUGGAGGCCUCCGUGCUACCGAUNAAUGAUACCGAAAAAUUAUGAAAUUUAGUUUUUAAAUAUUUUUAAUAGUGUAGAUCAAGUCUAACGGAGCCGAUUGUCGAUUUGAAAGUGGCAUCAUUGAAAACAACUUGGUAGCAUGGAGGCCUCCGUGCUACCGAUUGCAUACCAGCCUAGCUCUCUCUCUCUCUCUCUCUCUCUCUCUCUCUAUAUAUAUAUAUAUAUAUUCAAAACAAAGAGUUGUUGCAUUUAAUUUUCUACUAUUAUAUAAUUUCGUUAUUUUUUCGUGUAUAAAUUGUAUGGUAUAUCUCAAAAAGUUAUUAGAAUAUUUAUUAUAUUCUUAAAAGUGAUGGAGAAAAUAAUAAUUUUAUAUUAUCUCUCAAAUUAGGGUAAUUAUAUAAAAGUGAUUUCUAACCAUUAACUAAUUAAAUGAGUAUGCUAGUAAUAAUUAUUCCUGACACACCAAAUAAUUUAUGCAUAAAAUAAUGAUAAAAUUAUAAUAGUAUCGAAUUUAGUGCUACAGCUCUAAAUUUUAAGAAGCUAAAAUAAAAAUUUGUAAAAGACAGUGCGUAAAACAAGAAACAAAUUUUUAUAAAACAAAAUUCCCGUAUUUGAGCCUUAAUACAGUUUGACCGUCUCAUAUUACAAAAUACAACUUUAUCUAAUGGGAUAUAUAUUGACACACAAUUAAUAUUAAUUAACGUCUUAUUAAUAUUCCAUGGAGAAGUUUGAGAACAAGAUCCGUCCACGGCAGUUUGGAUUUUUAAUAUGGGAUAAUAAUCAAAACCAAAACCACGUGGCUCCAAAAGUACUUGAAACGGAAUCAGCGUGGCAUAAGGAACUUACACGGCAACGGCAUCUUAAGUCGAUCACCAGCAUUUGGACUAACUGGCACACAAUUUAGUCUUGAAUAAAAUCACAAACAUCGACCGCAUCCGCCGCCCUGCUUUCCGCUGGCCGAGUCGUCCGGAGCCAAAUAUGUUAUAUAUGGUACAGACAUCUAAAAUUCAAUAAAGCUUCGGCUUGUGCAAAAAAUGUUAAUUGGAUACAUUUGAAGUUACUGAGUACCGCUAAUGCUCCUAAAAAUUUUCUUUUAAAAAAAAUAAAAAAAAAAGAAAAAGGAAAGAAAAAGAAGAAGAAAAUACAUUAAUACAGACCAAUUAAUCAUGCAACACUUGUUAAUUUAAUAAGGGCAAACAAUUUUUUUUCUAGAAAAAUUUAAUAUAAAAAGAUCGUAACAAAAUUUUACUACCACUAUUCUUUGUUUAAUACUUCAAUACCUGUAAUUGGCUUUUUGAUUAUGAGCCUAAGAAAUUUUGCUUACACAUCCACAAGUAAAAUGUAAAUGUUAUACCGAUCCAUCCAAAAAUUUAAAAUUUUUUUUAAUUUUUUAAUGUUAAAAAAAAUAAAAUUAGUAAAAAAUUAAUUUUUUUAAAUAAGCAGAUUGUAUGAUAUACACACAUUAUUGGAUAUAGAGGUACAUAGCAUCACUUAAUGAGCAGGUAUCGUACAUACAACCCUUUUCUCUCCCAACUUUAGUUGGGUACAAGUACUUUUCAGAGUAUUCAUUCAGUGUGCCAAGAGUCUUUCUUUCAUGGGGAAUUGCUUAUAUAACUCUAAAAAAAAUUUCGACUUUCUGAUUUAUUUUUUUUAAAAGGCUAAUAUUAAAAAUAUUUUUUUUACGUUCCAACCUAUUUCAAAUAUAUUCCUAGAGUUAAAAUCUGUUAAUAAAUUCUGUUAUCUGUAUAAAAUUACUAUUUUAUCCUUUCAAAUAUACUAUUCCACCAUCACCGAUUUUUUUUAUUUGCCCUUAAGUCAUGGGCACAAAAAGUAUUUUGACUUUUGGUCUUUUCAAAUAUACCCCUCUACCAUCACCAACAUUUCUUAUUUAUCCUUUAAGUUAAGGGCAAGAUUGAUAUUUUAAUUUUUUAAAAUUGUGGUAGAUAUUUAACUUACAUUUAACCCAAGUUAACUUAACAGGGGAUAACUGUCGGGGUAUUUUUCAAUAACGGUGGAACAUAUGAGAGAUAUUUUAGAAAGAAAAAAAAUAGGAAUAAAUCGGAUAUUUUCAAACGCAUGAGUGGUAUAUAGACAAUUAUUCCUCUUUUUAUUAUCUCAACUUACCAAUAAAUUUCAAAUGCACCCUUUUAAAGUUUUCAAAAUUUUGUUGAUGCCCCUUCAUAAUCUAAAACUUAUAUGUAUAGAGAGGGGGGGGGGAGAGAGAGUGAGAGAGGAGAGAGAGAAAUCGACUACCAUACCAUCGAUAGUACUUGACAUUUUAGUGCUAUCCGAGUUUUCACCAAAUAGAUCUACUGAUUUUGACAUUUUUAUCUGUUAGAUUAUACUAUUCAUACCAAUUACACCCACUCAAGUUCUAAUGAGAGCCACUAUUUGCAUUCCUAGAUUAUCGCACAUUGUUUCAUGCAAGAGUCUUAAAUGCUAAUAGCAUUAAUGCUUUGGUACUAAUUGCGAUCCGUCAUAGUGCCAAAUUAUAUAUAUAUAUAUUUAUAUAUAUACUAUAUAUAUGAUAUAUAUAUAAAUAAUAUAUAUAUAGUAUAUAUAUACUAUGAUAUAGUAUAAUCUAUAUGUUAUAUCUGAGUGGCGUCGGUAUGCUUCUGGAAGGCAACGGAGCGCUUACGUGCUUCCAACUUGUUUUCGAUGUUCGCCUUUCGAAUCGUACGAUGGGCUCGUAGACUUAUCUAGAGUGUUUAAAGUAGUCUAGAAAAUAAAUUAUUGCGAUUUUUCGAUAUCAAUUUGCCUAGUGUUCGAGUGACUCCAAAUCCAACGGCUGAAUAAUAAAAAUCUAGCAAAAUAUGAUGAUAUGACAUUAAAAAUUUUAGAUCAAUUGAUUAUUUGAGUAUAUAGUUUAUCGCCGUAUAACGACUAAGAAUUUCUAACUCUUCAUCAUAAUUUCCAUCCCGCUGAUUUGGAAUUUUCCUAACACGCCGCUUAAUCUUGGCCAAACGGCCUUCACUCACCGCGGCCAUUCAAAAUUAUUGAUCUUUGACCCUCAUCCUCUUGGAUCACUUGCAAAUCAUAUUGAAAAAUCAGCAAAAAUUUAUUUUCUAGGUACUGCGUUCCUCACAAACGCUCUUAGACAACUCUAACGAGCGAUCGUCAAUUCGAAAGUCCCGAAUCACAACAUCGAAAAUCAACUUUGGAGGCGCCUGGCAUUCGAGGCUCCGUACCUUUCAGAAGGCAUAGUACCCCUCACUCUAUAUAUAUAUUAUAUAUACUAUAUCAUAUAUAUAUAUGAGUGAGGCUAUUAGCUUCUGGACAGCUACGCAAGCCUUCCCCAUCUCUCCAGGUCAUUUUCGAAUGUGCGAUUUUCGAUGUCCGAUCGCUCGUUAAUACUUGAUCUACGAAGUAUUGAAGUACCUAGAAAAUAAAUUUGUAAUUUUCGAAUCAUUGCCUAGUUGAUCGAGGGCACUCAAAUAAUAAUUAUACAGACAUACUCACGUGGUGAGCUGUUUGCCAGUUUAACGGUGUAAAAAUAUCCAAAUCACGUGAAAUUUUUAUAGAAAAUUCUUUAUAUUAUAUUAAACAAGAUCAAUAUCUUUGAUCUAAAAUUUUAAUGUCAUAUUAUCACGUUUUGUAAGAUUUUUAUUUUCAGCCGUUGAUUUUGAGCCCCUUAGUUCACUAGGCAAAUGAUAUCGAAAAAUUGCAAAAUUUAUUUUCUAGGUACUUCAAAUACUCUAGAUCAAGUUUAAUGAAGACGAUCGGCGAUUCGAAAGUCGCAACAUCAAAAACGACCUAGAAACAGGGAAGGCUCCAUGCUUCCAGAAGCAUAAUAGCCUUAGUCAUAUAUAUAUAUAUAUAUAUAUAGGCUAAAUUACAGAAAACCCCCCUGUAAUAACCCGUUUUUUCACUUCCCCCCCUGACAUUUAAAAACCUACACUUUGCCCCCCUGUAAAAUGAAAAAUGUUCACAGGGAGGUUACGGUGUAUAAAAUGACCAGUUUGCCCCUCGCCAUUGUCGUCUUCUUCCCCAUCUUCCUCAACUGCCCCUUCGUUCGGCCGCGAUUUCUCUCAAUUUUCUUCUCCACCUGCUCCCCUUCUCCUCCCGCACCCUCGCCGCCCUCGAUUUCGGCGAUAGUAGGAGAAAACCGAGGUGGGCGACAGUAGGAGAAAGGCAAAGAAGGCGAAGGCGAAGCAGCGGAGGACGGCAAAGGGGAUGUGGGUGAGGGCGAGGCAGUGGAGGACGGCGAGGCGGCUAGGCGGCGAGGCGGCGAGGCAGCGGCGAGGUGGCGAGCCGGAGGGAGUCGAAGCAACAGGGAGAUGGCGGAGGGGUAUUUUCGGCAUAAAAAUAUAUUUUUUAAUGGAACCCUGGCGAAACCCUAACGGUAGGGGGUGAAGUGCACAUUUUUUAUUUUACAGGGGGGCAAAGUAUAGGUUUUUAAUUGUCAGGGAGGGAAAGUAAAAAAGCAGGUUAUUACAAGGGGGUUUUCUGUAAUUUAGCCAUAUAUAUAUAUAUAUAUAUAUAUAUAUAUAUAUAUAUAUAUAUAUAUAUAUAUAUAUAUAUANNNNNNNNNNNNNNNNNNNNNNNNNNNNNNNNNNNNNNNNNNNNNNNNNNNNNNNNNNNNNNNNNNNNNNNNNNNNNNNNNNNNNNNNNNNNNNNNNNNNNNNNNNNNNNNNNNNNNNNNNNNNNNNNNNNNNNNNNNNNNNNNNNNNNNNNNNNNNNNNNNNNNNNNNNNNNNNNNNNNNNNNNNNNNNNNNNNNNNNNNNNNNNNNNNNNNNNNNNNNNNNNNNNNNNNNNNNNNNNNNNNNNNNNNNNNNNNNNNNNNNNNNNNNNNNNNNNNNNNNNNNNNNNNNNNNNNNNNNNNNNNNNNNNNNNNNNNNNNNNNNNNNNNNNNNNNNNNNNNNNNNNNNNNNNNNNNNNNNNNNNNNNNNNNNNNNNNNNNNNNNNNNNNNNNNNNNNNNNNNNNNNNNNNNNNNNNNNNNNNNNNNNNNNNNNNNNNNNNNNNNNNNNNNNNNNNNNNNNNNNNNNNNNNNNNNNNNNNNNNNNNNNNNNNNNNNNNNNNNNNNNNNNNAGGUUGGUAUGCUUCUUCGGAGCACGGAGCCUUCCGUGCUUUAAGUCGUUUUUCGAUGUUGGAGACUUUCGCAAUCGAGGUUGUCAGCUGCUUCGUUAAACUUGAUCUAGAGUAUUUGAAGUGGCUAGAAAAUAAAUUUUGUGAUUUUUCGAUAUUAUUUGCCUAGUGAUCGAAGGGGCUCAAAAUCAAUAAUUUUAAUGGCCGUGGUGAGCCGUUUGCAAGUUUAACGGUGUAGAAAUAUUCAAAUCACGUGAAAUCUUGAUCGAAAAUUUUUUAUACUAUAUAAAACAAGAUCAAUAUUUUUGAUCUAAAAUUUUAAUGUCAUAUCAUCAUAUUUUGUAAGAUUUUUAUUUUCAGCAGUUGAUUUUAAGCCACUUCGAUCACUAGGCUAAUGAUAUCAAAAAAUCGCUAAAUUUAUUUUCUAGAUACUUAAAAUACUCUAAAUUAAGUCUAACGGAGCUGAUCCUCGAUACGAGGUUGGUAUGCUUCUGGAAGCACGGAGCCUUCCGUGCUUUCAAGUCGUUUUCGAUGUUGAGACUUUCAAAUCGAGGGUCGGCUUCGUUAAACUUGAUCUAGAGUAUUUGAAGUGGCUAGAAAAUAAAUUUUGUGAUUUUUCGAUAUUAUUUGCCUAGUGAUCGAAGGGGCUCAAAAUCAAUAAUUUUAAUGGCCGUGGUGAGCCGUUUGCAAGUUUAACGGUGUAGAAAUAUUUAAAUCACGUGAAAUUUUGAUCGGAAAAUUUUUUGAUACUCAGAUAAAACAAGGUCAUUAUUUUCUGAUCUAAAAAUUUUAAUAUGUCAUAUCAUCAUAUUUUGUUAGAUUUUUAUUUUCAGCGUGUUGAUGUUUAAGCACCAUUGCGAAUCACUUUAGGCUGAUGAUAUCAAAAAAUCGUAAAUUUAUUUUCUAGCCUACUAGUGAAAUGCUCACCAAUUAUAGUCUAAACGUAGCUCACAUCUCGAUUCGACGUUCCACAAACGAAACAAUUUCGAAAGACGGACGUCUCCGUGCUUCAAAAGCAUACCCACCCUCACUCAUAUUAUGUUUAGUUAAUAUAUUUAGAGCUAGGCUAAAUGAUACUAUUAAUGGUACCAAGUCGAUUGGUGCUACCAAAUUUUACAUUGGAUUAAGAGAUGUGCGGUUAAGAUGAGUGGCCCUAGGGUGAGUGGAGUGGUUCGGAUUGAAUUGUAUGAUCUAACGGACAUGAGAAAUGAUCAAAAGGGUAGAUCUAACGGCAGGAAACUGGUAGCACCAAAUGUUGAACUUCGUGCUAUUAUAGGAAGUAGCGGACUCUUUAUAUAUAUAUAAUCCCGCUAUGGAGCUUGUAAAGCCACCAAGCAGUUAGUGUUUCUAUUCAUUAGAUCAUACUAUUCAACCAAUCUACCCAUCUCAACCCUAGCGGAUACUAUAUAUCCUAACCGUAAUCUUUAAUCUAAGACUUUGAAAAUUGCAGCCACUAAUGACUUGGUAUAUUUUUCAAGCAUAGGGAUCUCAAAUUCUCUCUCUUCUCUCUCUCUCAAGCCUCUUGCACUUCUCUCUCUCUUUUCCCCCCAUAUCAUCACCGUACAUAAUAAUAUGUGCAUGUAUUUUAUAGGUAGGAUAUAGUACCGCUACUAUAUAUUAUAUAUAUAUUAUAUAUAUAUAUAUAUAUAUAUUAUUGUGCUGUGUGUGUGUGUGUGUGUGUGUGUGGUGUGUGUCGGCGUGUGUGUGUGUGUGUGUAUAUAUAUGUGCUUGUGUGUGUUACUAUAUAUAUAGUUAAUAUAUGUCGUGUUGUUGUGUGUGGGUAUAUAUUAUAUAUAUAGUGUGUGUGUGUGUACUUCAUUAUAUUAUAUGUGUGUGUGUUAUAUAUUAUAUAUUGUGUGUAGGAAUAAUAUAAUAUAAGUAUUGUAUAUAUAGAUAUAUGAUAGAGCUACUACACUAUCGAAAGUAUAGAGGAUCUGAUGCUUCCAACUUUUUGACUAUUGGAUUAAAAAUUAUACGGUUAGGAUGAUUGCGGUCCCCCCAGGGUUGAGUAGUACUCCUAGGGUUGAGUGGUCUCCACAGAGUAAUAAUAUUAAUCCAAAGGUUAGAAUGAUCAAAGGGAUUGAUCUAAGGGCCAAAAAAUCGAAAGUACUAGAUCCUCUAUGCUUCCGAUAGCAUAGUAGCUCUACUAUAUAUAUAUAUAUAUAUAUAUAUAUAAAAUUGAGCUAGAAUACUUUUAGAAGUAUUACCCCCUUGGUGCUUCUAGGUUUUUAGCCCUUAGAUCUACUCCUUGAUUACUAAUAGCCAUUGGAUCAAGCACUAUUCCACUUACCGCCACCUACCACCACCAACCACCAUCAUCUCAACCUUAUAUUUCUCAAUCCAAGGGUUAAAAACUCCAAAGCACCAACCGCUUGGUGCUUUUGAGAGUAUUCUAGCUCAACUCUCUCUCUCUCUCUCUCUCUCUCUCUCUCUCUGUGUCACGUCCCGAGACCGCUACCAAUUUGGUCCGGUCCGGGCGCGUCGAACAGACGCCGAACGGACAGGACCUCCCUUGUCCGCCCAAGGCUAACCACUGAUCAUGUAUAAGAACUUAUCCAAGAAUCAGUUCAUAAAUACAUGAUCACAAAGAGCACCACCAGUGCUAACAACCAAGAGCAGGAUACAAGUAUGAGACAUACAAGUAAAUAAAGAGAGAAAGCUCUAUCUAUUACAUUCAUUCAACUUAAUACAUUUAAUACCAUCUUUUACAUUCUUCUAAAACAUGUGUACAAGCACUCUCAAACCUCACUUUAUACAACAUCUACUCUCAAACAUAAAUAUAGGGUGGAGCUAAUGCAAAAUAGGUGGAUAGCUAAUGCAACUAGAGCGCUAAGCCCUUACCACGAUCCUCACGCUCGCCGGGGACACCCGAGCUCGAACCUGAAAAGAGUGGGGUGAGAACUAUCUUCUAUAGUUCCCAGUUGGUUCGGCCGUCGACUCCGCCGAUCUCCCCACUAGGUCCAAGUGGGUACAAAUAGAUAAACCGAUAGAUAGAUAUGGAAAGCUGUAAUAACAGAAUAGCAAGCUACGCUACCAUGCCCGAAUCAUAUAUAUGAAGAUGCAUGCACAAUGAAAUGAAUAAUCAACUAGCUCUUCAUAUGUCCAAGAAGUAAAGUGUUCAUUAAUCUCGUGGCUCAUUCAAGGAUCCGCCUACUACUCACAUAGCCGUCUCGAUACUACGAAUCCGAGACCGUCUGCGGGACCCCACAUAGGCCAUCCCUCGGGACCCCAAAUAGGCCAUCCCUAUCCCACGGGACUCCAAAUAGGCCAUCCCUCAUGACUGACUCCGGAGCGAUCUACUUGUGUGGAGCGACCACCACAAGUCGGGAACAGACAAUGAGUAUGAUCCAAUUCUCUCACCUCACGGGUGCCCUAUCCUUUAGGGUUACUACCACCAUAGUCAAUGGGUUUCAUAUACGCUACGACUCACACGUGCCACUCGUUCUUUGUUUAAUUAACAACUAGAUGCCACUCGUUCUUUCAUUUCAACUAUUGCAUCGUUCUUUCACCGUUGCACUAUAGGAUUACAAGUCUCGACCCAAUCCUCAUCAAUCCCCUAUAUCCAGCAACUAAUGCAUAUUAUAAUAUCAGCUAGGAAGGCAUAAAGAAAGGCGAUACACAAUUAUCCUACAAUGCAUGUGAACACAGGAUGCAAGAUCUCAAGUACUAAGACAUAAAAGGGAGCCCGAUUGCUUCGAGAUGGUCACCACCCACCUCUUGGUGAUGCCGCGACGGUGGAAAACUCGACGCUGCGGUCCUUGCACGUCGCUUCAACUCCUCGGGGCGAAGCGAGCCCUCAAGCACUCGUUUUGGCGAUAACUCCGCACUCGCUCGACGGAUUAACGAACCGUCUUCGCCGACGCGUUCAGGGACCUAGCAAUUAGGUUUACGACCUAUUAAAAUAGAUCAAAACCCUAGAUUUCCAAAAAUUCCGAAUCCGUGCCCUAGGUUAGCAACGGUGAGGAAAUCCGUGGUGCGAGCUUCAAAUGCGAGCCCGAACCAUCUAUUUAUCUCCUCUAAGUUCCAUUCGAACCAUUUCUAAGCAAUAAAACCCAAUCUCAAGAAAUUCACCAUGGAUGGGUUUGAGGCUUACCUCUACACAAAGCUCCAAGCUUGCUCUAGCUUGAAGGAGAGAGGGAAGAAGAUGAUCUUUUUCUUCUUCUUUGUCUUCUCCUUCCUCUUAUUCUUCUUUUCCUUCAUUUUCUUCCUCUCCUUCUUCUUCUCCUUCUUUUCUUUCUAGAGAGAGAGAGGGAAAGGGUGUGAGAGGGUUAGAGAGCAAAUGAGAGGAAGAGAGGUCCCCCACCCUUUAUUAAAGGCUAUUUUGCAAAUAGCCCCCUCAACUUUUCAUCUUCUGAAUCAGCCCUCACUGGGCAUUUUCGCAGUGAGGGACGGGUCCCAGCUCGGGGAGACCGGUCCCCGAGAGCAUUCCAUCUCGGGCAGAGGGUAUUUCGCAUUCGGGAACCGGUCCUUGCCUGAGAGACCGGUCUCCCGUCCGUGCCUGAGAGACCGGUCCCCGGGAGACCGGUCCUUGUCCGAGAGACAGGUUCUUGAAAGUUGGAUUUUCGGGACUUAGCCAAUUUUCGGCUGUUCUCGCUGGGCCAACGUUCGGGAACCGGUCUUCCCCUACCAGGGACCGGUCGCCUCAAGGAUCCCUGCAGCCCAGCCUGAUGGGACCGGUCCCUCCCUACCAGGGACCGGUCCCCAAGAGCAAUUAUGCUCCAGUGCAGAUUUCACACUCGUGCUCUCGCGGACUCUUCUUUAAUGCACUUUAAGCAUUAUAAUCCCCUUCGGACUUUCCGAAGCUUACACACUCGACAAUCAGUCGAUUCUAAGCGAAGUAUAAUCCUCGGAUUUUGAGAAUCCGAGGGUUGGUCUACCACACACACACACCCUUCUCUCUCUCUUCUCUUCUUUCUUUCUCUCUCGUCUCUCUCUCUCUCUCCUCUCUCCUUCUCUAUCUCCUUAUAUAUAUAUAUAUAUAAUAUAUUAAUAUAUUAUUUAUAUAAUAUAUAUAUAUAUAUAGUAGGUCUUGUGUGCUUUUAGGAGCACGGAGACCUCCAUGCUCCUGAGCUGUUUUCGAUGAUGGAGCUUCCGAAUCGACGAUCGGCUCCGUUAGACUUGAUCUAGUAUAUUUGAAGUAUCUAGAAAAUAAAUUUUGUGACUUUUCGAUAUCAUUUACCUAACGGUUGAAAGGGUUCAAAAUCAACCGCUAAAAAUAAAAAUCUCACAAAAAGUAAUGAUAUAGCAUUAAAAUUUUCGAUCAAACAUAUUGAUCUUGCUGUAAAUAGUAUAAAGAAUUUUCUAUCAAAAUUUCAUGUGAUUUGAAAACUUCUACACCGUUAAACUUGCAAACGGUUAUAUCAACCAUUAAAAAUUAUUGAUUUUGAACCCUUUUGAUUGCAAGGAAAAUGAUAUCGAAAAAUCACAAAAAUUAUUUUCUAGAUAGCUCAAAUACGCUAGAUCAAGUCUAACGGAGCCGAUCGUUAAUUCGGAAGCUCUAUCAUCGAAAACGGCUUAGGAGCACGGAGGCCUCCGUGCUCCUAAUAGCACACAAGACCUACUCUCUCUCUCUCUCUCUCUCUCUCUCUCUCUCUCUCUCUCUCUCUCUCUAUAUAUAUAUAUAUAUAUAUAUAUAUAUAACUAAGCUGAAAUACUAUCAAUAGCACUAAGCUAUUGGUGCUAUUAGUUUUUUAGCCAUUGGAUUGAGAAAUGUAUGGUUAGGAUGAUGUGGGCCCCCUAGAGUUGAGUGGGUGGUUGGUUAAAUAAGAUAUAAUCUAACGGGUAAAAAUAAUCAAAGAAUAUAAAUUUAAUGGUGGAAAAUUGAUAUCACUAAGUUCUUGUACUAUCGAUAGACAUAGGGGUAUUCUUAAUAGAUAUAAGUAAUUAUAUAAUAUAAUAUAUAUAUAUAUCAGCUCCUAUUGCUUUUAAAAGUACCAAGUCAUUGGUGCUUGUAAUUUUUCGGCCCUUAGAUUAAGGAGGUGUCGGUCUAGGAUGAUGUAGGCCCCCUAGGUUGAGUGUUAGGUUAGUUCGAUGAUAGUAUAAUCUUUACGGGGUGAAAAUGUAUUAAAUGCGUAUAGAUCUAACGGUAAAAAAUUCACAAACAUAGUGCUUGAUGCUUUUACAGUACCAUAGUCGGACUCUCUCUCUCUCUUCUCUCUCUCUCUUCUCUCUCUAUUAUAUAUAUAUAUAUAUAUAUUAUAUAUAUAAUUGUACUAGAAUACGCCUAGAAGCACCAACCUCUUGGCGUGCUUUUAGUUUUCUAACCUUUAUCUACCUUUUGACUACUAAUAAACUUUGGAUUAAAACAUAUCACCUACCACUACCUACCACCAUCAUCCUACCCUGCAUCACUCCUUCAAGAGCUAAAAAGUUAAAAGCACAAACCGCUUGAUAUUUUUGGAAGUAUUGUAGCUCAACUAUAUAUCUAUAUAUAUAUAUAUAUAUAUAUAUAAUAUAAUAAUAUAUAAUAUAUAUAUAUAUAUAUAUAAUUGUACUAGAAUACGCCUAGAAGCACCAACCUCUUGGUGCUUUUAGUUUUCUAACCCUUGGAUCUACCUUUUGACUACUAAUAAACUUUGGAUUAAAACACUAUAUCCACCUACCACUACCUUACCACCAUACACCUACCCUGCAUCACUCCAUUCAAGAGCUAAAAAGUUAAAAGCACAAACGCUUAUAUUUUGGAAGUAUGUAGCAUCACCUAUAUAUCUAUAUAUAAAUAUAUAAUAUAUAUAUAUAUAUAUUGUAUAUAAUAUAUAUUAUAUAGUUAUAUAUAUAGAGAGAGAGAGAAGGAGAGAGAGAGGACGGAGAGAGGGAGAAGAGAGAGGAGAUGCACAAAAGCUGACAAGUAGAAGGGGGUAGAGACAAACCAGAGGGAGAGAAAGCCAGAGAGAAGGCGAAGAUGAGAUGAGAGAGAGAGUAGGUCUUGUGUGCUAUUAGGAGCACGGAGGCCUCCGUCCUCCUAAGCCGUUUUGAUGAUGGAGCUUCCGAAUCGACGAUCGGCUCCGUUAGAUUUGAUCUAGCGUAUUUGAAGUAUCUAGAAAAUAAAUUUUGCGAUUUUUCAAUAUCAUUUACCUAACGAUCAAACGGGUUCAAAAUUAAUAAUUUUUAAUGGUUGAUGUAUACCAUUUGCAAGUUUAAUGGUGUAGAAGUAUUCAAAUUAGAUAAAAUUUUGGUAGAAAAUUUUUUAUACUAUUUACAGCAAGAUCAAUAUCUCUAAUCGAAAAUUUUAGUGCUAUAUCACCACUUUUUUUGAGAUUUUUAUUUUCAGCCGUUGAUUUUGAACCCUUUCGAUCGCUAGGUAAAUAAUAUCGAAAAAUCACAAAAUUUAUUUUCUAGAUACUUCAAAUACGCUAGAUCAAGUCUAAUGGAGUCGAUCGUCGAUUCGGAAGCUCCAUGAUCGAAAACGGUUUAGGAGCAUGGAGGCCUCCGUGCUCCUAAUAGCACACAAGACCUACUAUAUAUAUAUAUAUAUAUAUACCCUCUAAAUAUAUGUAUAUUUAUUAUAAAGGUUCCUAUUGUCAAUUUUUAAAUACAUUCACUCGGGCUAAAAGAGAGUUAAACGCUCAUUAAGUUAAUAAAGUAAUGACAUCAUCAACGACUAUUAUUUAUAGGGAAAAUUAUUAAUAUAUAUUAUUAACGAAGAAAACACUUCAUGUUAGAAUUAAUUAUAAUAACUAUCAAAAUUGAUUUUUAACCAUCAAAGUUUAGGCCUUGUUGCCGAUAUUUUUAUUUUUUUAAAAUAAAAUUUCUAUACAAAGUAAUGCAAGUGGAAAUAGGGAUUGCUUGCAAUUCUUACGUCCCUGAUGUUUAUUUGACAACAAACAAUAAAAUUUUGAUAGUUAUUUUCAUUUACUUUCAAUUUUAUUUACAGGUAAAAAUGUAUACAACUUACCCAAACUAUAAAUCAUUUUGAUUGACCUACUCCACCUUUCAAAAUUUUGAUCUUACUAUCUAACUUUUCAAUUUGUUUGAUUUGAGUAAGUCAACGGCGUUUUGACUUCAAAAAUUUGAGUUUAUUAUUUAUCUUUUCAAGUUUUCAUAUAAUUUUAUAAUUAUAAAUUCCUUAAAGUUAGUAAUUAGCUUUAAUUUUGAAGUCAUAAUGUCGUUGAUUGACUCAAAUCAAACAAAUUGAAGAUUAGAUAAUAAAAUCAAAAUUUUUAAAGAUUAAGUAGCCAAAUUAAAAUGGUUCUUAAUUCAGAUUAGUUCUAUACAUUUUUACCUUAUCUUUAAAACAACUUAUCUUCCAUCAUUUAGUUAUAGUGUCUUGUAAGUUAAUCAAUCCUGACAAUACGAGGAAAGUUAUUCUAUUGAGUAAAUUAAAUUGUAUAGAAUUAGCAUUUAUUGACCGUCCCUAAAGCAAGUGGCAAAGAACUUGGUGGUUGAUACCCGAGUUCCCAAGUUCGAAUCCUAAUUGAUUCACAUUUCACUAUAACAAAAGCGGUCUAUAGCGACACUUUUAAAUAUCGGUAAAGCUUAAAAAAAGUGCUGCCGGCUAAAUUACCGAUACUUUUAAAAAGUGCUGCUAUAUGUGGGGUCGUUAGGUAUAUAGUGACAGUUAAAGACUGUCACUAUAAUCUAAAAAGAGUGUUGUUAAUUUACCAACACUUAUUUAAAUAUUUAGCAACCGUCGACACUCUACUUCGUUGGCUGCGGUGGCGGAGAAGGACGAGAGGAAGGGAACACUUAUUUAAACAUUUAGCAAACCGUCGAAACUCUACCUCGUUGGGUGCGGUGACGGAGAAGAACGAGAGGAAGGAAUCUUCGUCUUGGAUUUCAGUGGAUUGAGUGAGGGGAGAAGGGGAGAUGGUAAUCGGGUCGAAUGGGCUGGGUAAGGUGGGUUAAGUAGAGUACUCUUUUAUUUUUUGUUGGAUUGGGCUUUAUAUUUAGUCAUUAGUAGAUUUUUUUUUUUAAGUUUUGGCAUAAAUGGGACACUUACACAAAAGUGUCCCAAACAUGUGUCCCUAUAACCUAAUUCUGUUGUAGUUUUUCCAGCUAAGUUUAUUUCUAAAUGAAAUAAAUGAAGGGGGUAGCGUGCUACCUAUCUCUCUCAAAAGAAAAAAAAAGUAUAGAAUUAGCAUUUUUAAAAAUAAAAAGUGCAAUGACACUAAAGAAGACCUAAAAGUUAAUUUUGUUUAUCUCCAACCUAAAUUUUAGCAUAUAUAAAAAUGUUAUGUUACGUUAUUAUUAUUUGUCCAUUAAUGCUUCUUAACUAUUUGAUUAUUUUUAGGUACUGUAAUUUAAUAAAAUUUAUUGGCACAUAAUUAUUUUUAAAAUUUUAAAAGUAUGAAUGAUAAAAGUUAAGUUAUAAAGUUUAGAUGGCUAUCUAUAGAUCUGUAAAUGUGUGAAAAAUGUGGUUUUGAGGUAUUUAAUUCUCUCUUUGUUUAUUAUAGAAUUUCUUUCCAUAAAUGAAAGGAGAAUUUUACUGUGGCCACGCGUCGCCUCCUCAGCGACCCCCCAUCCUUCUCAGUUCUGAGGGAGGGGCGGGCUCUCUCUCUCUCUUUCUCUCUCUCUCCCUUUCCCUAUCUCUGGCUCCCUCUGUCUGUCUGUCUCUCUCUCUUUCUCUCUCUCUUUCUCUCGCGCGAGCGUGGGCGCCGGGCGCUGGUCGCGCACAUAGGCUCUCUCUCUCUCUUCCUCCCUCUCUCUCUUUCUUCCCCUCUCUCCCUCUUCCCACCCUCUGGCUCCCUCCCUCUCUCUCUCUUUCUCUCUCUCUCCCCCGCGCGCGUGCGCGCCAGGCGCAGGUCGCUCGCACAUGGCAGGGCACCCUUCCCGACUCUGUCUCUCUCUCUCUCUCCCCCUCUCUCCCUCUCCUCACCACCCCCCGGCUCUGUCUCUCUCUCCCUCCCCCCUCCCUCCUCCCUCCUCCCUUCCCUCCGGCUCUCUCUUUCUCUCCCCCCCUCUCUCUCCCCCUCUUUUUCUCCUUCCCCCCCGGCUCCCUCUCUCUCCCUCGCGCGUGCGCACACGCGUGAGCACGGGAGCUGGCGUGGGGGCGGGCUCCGGCGCUGUCGCAGGCGCGAGUCGAGGGUCGGAGGCGCGGGGCGAGCGCGGGGGCGAGCGCGGGGGUGGAGCGUAAGCGGGAGCGGGCGUGGGGGCGGGCGCGACACGGCGAGACGCGGGCUCUUCGCGGAGCCGGAAAAAAAAGCGGCUCACAGCCGUGGUUUUCACGAGGUCCCUUCGGCCUCGUGUACCACAUGAGAGGGAGGUCCACGGUGGACCUCCUUAUAUGUAUAGAGAGAAUUGAGUUAGAAUACUAUCGAUAGCAAACGAGCUCCGUUGCCACCAAUUUGUUUUCGAUGAUAGAGCCUCCAAAUCGACGAUCGGCACUGUUGAACAUGAUCUAUACCACUUGAAGUGUUUAGAAAUCAAAUUUCAUACAUUUUCGAUAUUGUUCUCUUAUCCAUCGAGUGAACACAAAAAUGAACGGCUGAAACUGAAUAUUCUUUAAAAAAUGAUUAUAGGAGUCGUGCAAUCAAGAUCAAGAGUAUAGAUCUUGUUUUAAAUAGUUUAAAAAAUUUUCAAAUAAAAAUUCAAUUGAUUUGGAUAUCUUUACGCCGUUAAACGAGAAAACGUCUCAUAUCAACCAUUAAAAUUACAAAAUUUAUAAUCCUUUGACCAUUAGGCUAAUGAUGCCGAAAAAUUUAAAAUUUGAUUUUUAAAUACUUCAAGUGGUNAGGGAGAAGUACCCAGAUAGAAUCCCUGUAAGGGUUUUAAUUUUUCCUUUGUUUUGAUCUGCCCUAGGGUUUGUUUCUUGAUUACAUUGUUGUUCAUGUUUGCUGUUAUUGCAGUGAAAUGUUUAGUUCUUGAUUAAUCAGAAGAAGAAAUAAAUCGGUUGCGGCGAGCUUCGCCGGCGCCCGUCCGUGGUCGGAUACCGGCGAUGGUGGCGGCGCAGCUGCUGCUCCGACAGGGCAAGCCCAAGGACGAGAGCCUCGAUCUCUUCUCCGCGAUCCGGUGGAGCGAAUCGCCGACGAUCUCCCCCGCCGUUGCCGGUAACCGGAAAUAAAUUUUCCCCUCCCCCAUUGAUUUCUUCUUUUUUUUUUAGGGAUUUUUAUUUAUUUAUUUAUUUUAUUUGACAGAGGAGGGAGUGUUGGGGAGAAGCAGUGGAGUGGAGGAUGAUGAUCUGUUCUAUGUGUACGUUGGAAAGAGCAAUUACGAUUGGUAAUCAAUAAACCACUUUAAUUUCCUUUUUGUUUUUCCCUUUUUUAUUUUUAAUGUUACAUUUUCUCUCCUUUUUUUUGGUUUAAAAAUUAGCUACACUGUGAAGAUUUUAAAUUAACUUCAAUUUUGGUUAUAUUUCAAUAUCAAAUCAAUUUUGAACCGAGUUGUGCUCUGUUCCAUAUAGAAUGAAAUGGAUGAACCAAAGAGGGGUAAUGUUCUUAAUUAAUUAAUUUUCCCUCUAAUUUUUUUUUACCAAAAAAAUUAUUUAAAAAAUUACUCAAUUUCACUUCCAAUUUUUUUUACAUCAACCGGGCUACUUACACCCCCUGGUACUCCUCUCUUUUCCUCGUGCAAUGGAGUUGAACACCAACCAUCUUCAGCUUCUGCAAAAAGCACUUCAGGAGUUAGAUCAGCUUCAGCUACAAAGCCUUCAAGAGUAUACUCACUUUUUUUUUUUUUUUUUUCUAUGAGUGCUUAAAAAAUAUCAGUAAGUAAUAGUUAGAUAUUUGACAAACAAAAACUAUACAAAUAAUGAAAGUUAAAAAAUUUUUGUUAUGUUUUACGUAUUUGUUUCUGAGUACAUUUUUGUAGUUAUUUGUAGCUGGCGCGGGGGCGGGCUCUGGCACUGGCGCGGGCGCGAGCCGAGGGCUGGAGGCGUGGAGCGAAGGCGGGCGAGGGACCUAGUCCUCUGUCUGUCUCUCUCUUUUUCCCCUCUUUUCUAGCUCUUUUUUUUUUUCUUUCUUUUUUUCGCUAUGGUCCAUGUACAAAAAAAAAUAAAAUUUUAAAUUUAAUUUUAUAACUAAUUUUAAGUUGGGCCCGGCUCCGACUGCGGCGUCCUUCGGCGGGGUCGGCUCCUCCGCGGCGGCGGGGGUGCCAUACUCGACGGCGCUGGAGAGGAGGAACCCGGCGGGGGAGGGGUGACGCGGGAUAAUCGGGGUGCGAGGAGUUGCCGCAGCCGUGGCACGGCUGGGCGCCGACGAUCUGCGGGCAGAAGAGCGGGGCGGAGGCGGGUUCCGGCCAGUAUUUUUUUUUAUCUUACUUUUUCUUUUUUUCUUUAUAAUCAAAUCUAAUUAUUUUCUCUUAUUAUAAAAAUUUUAAAAUAUAUAAUAUUUUCUAUAUAAUUUUUUAAAAAUAAUUUAGAUUAUCUAUACAUAUAUUAAAUGGGGGAUGGAAGGUUCCCUAAAUUUUAUAAUUUUACAAUUAAAAAAUUUAAAAUUGUAGGUUUCAAAUAUUAUAUUUUAAAUUUUAUAACCUUCUCCUCUCUCUUUCACUCGCUCUCUCUCUCUAUCUAAAUUUAAAGUUAAAUGUUUAAAAUUUAAAAGUUUUUAUUAUUUAAAAUGUGUUGGCGGCCGAAAGUCCCGACCCUUAACCCGGUCAAGCGAUUCGGCCGAUGAGGGAUCGAAAUCAGCCAGGUUCGAAGACCUCCACAGUAAAUUCACUUCGGCGGGAUGAGCCGAAUGAGGAGGGGGAAGCCCAGAAUUCGAUUGAGGGAUGAGCUGAAUGACUAAACAACUCGAGAUCUGAUCGGCAAGAAGAGCCGAAAAUGACUUUCUAUUGAAUAGAACAUGGAAGUGAUGCCCGUAGGGCAGAUAGACUCCGAGUAUGCUAAGUUACGAGAACUACUCCUAUAAAAAAGCGGUAAAUGCAGGAAAGAAAGACGCAAGAAAAUAAAAGUGGUCUUUUGUGCGCAGGGGCGAAGACUCUUUUUCAGGGUGCUGUAUCCCUAUUUAUAAAGUUCCCCUUGCGUUCAGUUAUUGUCACUGCACGAUCGGCCACUAUCUCCGGAUUUGGAGGACCACCUUCGGCCGAUUGGAACUGCUCAUAACCGCUUGCGGUUGUUACAACUUUUUGAAUAGACGCGGCUCAUAUCUUCUGGCGCGUCUUAUAUACUCCCGGUCCACCGUUUUGACCUGGAUCACGGAUGUAGUCCCGGCUUGCCAGUUGUCCGCGCCGAAUUAGCCUAACAAAAUGUAAAACGAGUUAUUCGAUACAUAUAAAUCUUUAGAAUUUAGAAAAAUUCGGAUUCAACAAAACUCUAUAUAAAAUCAUAUAUUCAAAAUAUACAAACUGAAUUAAGAUAAAAUGUAUUUUCUAAAAUUUAAAUUUUCAAAUUAUAAAUUUCAAAUUUCAGGAUUUUAACAAAAGAAAGUUAGAAAGUUAAAUUUCAAAUAAAUUACAUAAAUUUUUUGCCGCAAAGUGCGGGCCUACACUAGUUACAUAUAAUUCCCCAAUGCUUGUCCUAUGACUCCUUUCUGGUUGUAAUCAUACAACUAUUUCUAGUAAGGACCACAUUUUCUCGGAUAAUCAAUCGUAUCAUUUUCUUUAUUACGUUAAAAUUUAAAAUUAGUUUCUAAAUUUUAGGGGACAAGAUCACAACUUUUGGAUUAAGGAUUGUACUCCUACAACUCUAUUCUAGCCGUAGACAUAGCAUUUUUUAUAUAAUUCUAAUAGAGAAAUGCGACAACUUUAUCAAUCACGUAAUUGCUUCUCUACUUCUCCACUACUCUUAUCAUUUUUUUUCUUGUUUUUUGUUAUUAAAAUCAAAAAUUAGUUUUUUAAAACCUAAGGGAUUGAAUUAAAAACCCCUAGAUUAAUUAAAGUUUGCAAUCUUACGGCAGCAAUAUUUAAAGACCGCUUUUUCUUCAUUAGUCUUAUUAAUUUUUUUUUGCUUUUUGUUUUUUUUUGUAAACUUAGCGUUUUUUCUAACUUCAACAGAGAGAAAUGCUACUACACCCAAACUUAAGAUUUGUGAAUACUUUUAAAAUAAUGCAGAGGGCAUUGUCAUUCCACUUUCCAGGCUUUCGAGUUAUUUAAUACGUACAUCACAUAGUACCAUACCGUCUUCUUCUUUGUUUCUCGAUCCCCGGAUAGGACUUGCAGCGCGCCCCCUGAUCAGCUAGCCUCCUUUCCUCUUUCAAUUAAACCUACUACUACUACUAUUAUUAUUAUUAUUAUUAUUAUUGUUAUUGUUAUGGCCGCCAACAUUGCCGCAGCAGCACCGCCGCCCUACUACUACCGCAGUACGUCUGCUCUUCCUCAAAAAUCCAAAUGGUGCGGCGCCCGAGGCAACGGUACUAGGGCGGCAAUCACCAGCAGGCACAAGUACGUGACGUUGUGCGUGGCAACGCGGCCGGGCAGAUCAGCGCCGGCGGAAUUCGACCUCGAGGAGUACAUGUCGUGCAAGGCCCGGCGCGUGAACGAGGCCUUGGACAGGGCCGUCCCGCUGCGCCACCCGGAGAAGAUCCACGAGUCCAUGCGCUACUCCCUCCUGGCCGGCGGCAAGCGCGUCCGCCCCGUCCUCGCCAUCGCCGCCUGCGAGCUCGUGGGCGGCACCGAGGACGCCGCCAUGCCCGCGGCCUGCGCCGCCGAGAUGAUCCACACCAUGUCGCUCAUCCACGACGACCUCCCCUGCAUGGACGACGACCGCCUCCGCCGGGGCAAGCCCACCAACCACGUCGCGUUCGGCGAGGACACCGCCGUCCUCGCGGGCGACGCGCUCCUCGCCCUCGCCUUCGAGCACGUCGCCAGGAGCCGGCCCCCCGCCCUCGCCCCCGACCGCCUGCUUCGGGUUCUCUCCGAGCUCGGCUCGGUACGUCAAAUUAAUUAUUAACCUGCAUGCCAUGCCAUGCCAUGCGAUGCGGACUCUAUCUAUCUAUCUAUCUAGACGCUCGAUCCUGCUUAACUAACAAAUCUCGAACUUAAUUGACUUGCAAAUUCGAGGCUGAAAAUUAAAAUUAGAACUCGCCCGUCAACGUACGUCGAGAGACUAUAGCUAGCUAGCUUAUAUAUAUAUAUAUAGGGCCUCCUCCAACUCGAUCGACUAUAUAUAUUUAUAUAUAUAACAAUUUAAUUACACUCCCGAUCGAAGAAUUAAUUAGUAGCUAGUAAAUGCGUACGUAAUUAAUUAAUUGCUUGAUUGAUUGACAGGCGGUGGGCUCCGAGGGGCUGGUGGCGGGACAGAUCGUGGACAUCGCGAGCGAGGGCAAGUCCAUCGACCUGCGCGAGCUCGAAUACAUCCACGUGCACAAGACGGCGAGGCUGCUGGAGGCGGCGGCCGUGUGCGGGGCCAUCGUCGGGGGAGCGGAGGACGGCGCCGUGGAGAGCGUCCGCAAGUACGCGCGCUGCGUGGGGCUGCUGUUUCAGGUGGUGGACGACAUACUCGACGUCACUAAGACGUCCGAGGAGCUCGGGAAGACGGCGGGGAAGGACCUGGCGGCCGACAAGGCCACCUACCCCAAGCUCAUGGGGCUCGGCAGGGCGCGCCAGUUCGCCGCAGAGCUCGUGGGAAAGGCCGAGGAGGAGCUCGCCGGAUUCGACGCCCGCAAGGCGGCGCCGCUCUACCAUCUCGCGCACUUCAUCGCCGACCGCCAGAAUUAAAAAUUUACAUGGACCGAUCGAUAUCUGCAUCUCACUGAUUACUUACUAAUUAAUCAGUGAAUUAAUUAAAUUAGUGCAGCUGCUUAUUUACUUGUAAUAAUUCUGUAGUAAUUACUAUAUAAUUUAUGUACGUACAAUUUUAAUCAUCGUCGAAAUUUGUUGAAGGGGAUAAAUACUAGUGUCCUUUUUUUAAAAAAUCUACAAAUAACUGAUAUUUUUCUUUAUAUUUGAAAAUUUUUAAUUUUUUAAAAUCUUAUAAAAUUUCUCUUCUGUUAACAUUGUCUAUCACUUUUUUUAUUUUUUUUCUUCUUUUCAUUCUCUUUGUCUUCAUUAAUUCUGUAGUAUUUCAUUAAUUCUGUAUAUACUACAUUUAUAGAAAUAAUAAUUCUUGAGUCCCCUCUGGAGCCUCCCCGCGUUUGGCGGAGGGCUACGGCAGGACUCCUAUUUUUUUUUUCGGCUCUCUCUCUCUCUCUCUCUCUCUCUAUGCGCGCGCGGCUCUGUCUCUCUCACUCUCUCUUCCCCUCUCUCCCUCUCACCCACCCCCAGGCCCCCCCAGCUCCCCACCUCUCUCUCUCUCUCUCUCUCUCUCUCUCUCUCUCGUGCGGUGCGACUCGCGCCGGCGGGUGCACGCGCCCAAGGCCCUGCGCGCGACCGCGCCCGGCGGGUGCGCAGAGAGAGAGAAGAGCUCUCUCUCUCCCCCUACCCUUUACCUCUCCCUUCCACACAACACCCCCCCCCCCCGGCCAGGUCUCUCCCUCUCUCUCCCGCCCCCCCUCUUCCCCUCUUUUCCUCUUCCCUCCCCCCCCCACGACUCUCUCCUCUCUCUCUCCAGAGCGGGCGCGCGGCGCGGCGGGCCAGGCGCGGCGGGCGCGACGCGCGCGGCUCAAGCGCCAGCGGGGCGGGCGCGGGCUAAGGCGCCAGCGCGCCGCGGGCGAGCGGGCGCGGGCUCAGGCCCCGGCUCGUCUCUCUCUCUCGUCCUCCUCUCCCCUCUCCCCAACACGAGCGGGCGUGGUCGCCGGCGCCGGAGCGAGGCGGCCGCAGGCACAGGCGUGGUCGCACAUCUAUUCAACCGUUUUUUUUUUUUCUCUUUUCUAACUUUUUUUUAAUUAUUUCUUAUGGCUAUCGAUAAAAAAAAAAUUUAAAAAUAAAAUCUAAAAUUUAAUUUUAAAUUAAAAUUUAAAUCCGAAUCCGAACUCGAAUCCGAUAAAUUUUACAAAUCCAUAUCCAAAUCCGAACCCGAUCAAGACUCCGAAACCCGGUCCCGAAAAUCCUAACUCGCAAUAAUGUUUAAAUAAUUUUUUUAAUUCCUCUCUCUCUUCAAUUUUUUUAAAGCUUAAAAUUUAAAAUUAGAUUUGAAAAUUAAAAAAAUUAAAAUUUUGAAAAUAUUUUAGGCAUUGCGUAAAUUUCUCGCCCCGAAAAUCCUAACCUGAAAUAAUGCUUAAAUAAUUUUUUUAAUUCCUCUCUCUCUUUAAUUUUUUUGAAGCUUAAAAUUUAAAAUUAAAUUUGAAAAUUAAAAAAAAUAAAAAUUUGAAAAUAUUUUAGGCAUUGCGUAAAUUUCUCGCCGCGAAGCGCAGUCUUUACUAGUAUCCAUAAUAAGUCACUUUGUUGCAAGUACACUGACGCUGUAAUUUUAAUCCAAAAUUAUUAAAAGUCUACUAAUUCCUUUUAGUUUUUUGUAAAUAAAAAAAAAAUAAAACAACUGAAAAAAAAAGGGUCACUGAAUUAGGAUUGUAAUAAUAGAAUUAUAAUUCAGAGUUCUAGAUCUAGUAUAAUUUUUUAUAUUCUUGUGGUAUGAUUGCGAAAAUAAGAAUUUAAACAGUUGAGUGAUGAAAAGUUGACGUAAGAGUUUUUUUUUUUUACAAGAUAUUAUAAAUUUAAAAAUUACUAAAUUAUUUUAAAAUUUCAAAAAAUAUUAUCAAUUAUGUAUAAAUUUUUAAAACAAAUAUUUAUGCUUAUUCUAUUAUUAAAAUUUAGGGAGCAGUUUGAUAACGCGUCUUUGCUUGAGAGGCGCAUAUUCCUCUUUCCGGGACAAAAUAACAAGCCGCUUUCGCAAUGAGAAAUUAGUAAUUAAUUAAGAGGACGUCACGGACAUUGAUAAUAAUAACAAGCCGAAAGCCAUUGUAUUCCGAGCGACGGCUUUUUUAUAAGAUAUUGAAAGAACGUUCAAGAAAAAUAAAUGGUUUAUUCCCGGAAAGGAAUUUGCAGAGAUAAUGCAGAUUUUACCUUGCAUUAGCUAGCUAGCUAGCAAGACAAAAAUCGAGUUUGAUAAUAUAAUUGUUAGUUAUAUGCCCAAUGUCAAUCUGGUGACACUAAUUUAAAAAUAUUUUUGUAUUAAUUAUUUAUAAUUCAUAAUAUGAGCGCAGAUAUUCUAUUCAUAUUUAUUAUAUAUAGUAGUGCAAUAUCAACGCGAAUCGUUCAUAGAGUCUUUGUUGGAGAAAAUAUAUUCCUAAGAGAUAGAAAUUUGGAUAUAUUUUUUUCUUUACGAGACUCUUUGAAUGCUCCUAGCCAAAGAAGUAUUAUAGGAACAAUAAUAUUCAGGAUAGGGCGAUGUGCACUAUAUUUCUAAUUGAGGUGACGAAUCUCAAGUGUAGAGACACUAGAGCAAGUAUACAAAUGCUUGAUAGAGAACAAGUACACUAAGCGUAACCAUUUAGUUGAACAACCACAUGAUUUCAUGCUCGCCAGUAUUUAGUUCAUUGCUACAGUUGUGUGAAGCACUUCUCGAACCUGAGACAUCAUAGUUGCUUCACGUAUAGGUUGCUACCGUUUGAUAGUACAAAUAUUUAGACUCUAAACACAGAUCUAUAUUCGGUACUGAUUGGCUAUAGUAAUUUAUACGGUGAGGCUUUCGAAUGCACAAUAAGAAAGCUAACACUCUCAAUAAUGAGGGAGAAAGUCCUAUAUAGUCUAUCGGACUCAACUUGAAAAAUUCCUGGCCAGGGUAUAUGGUACGUAGAAAGAGUUUCCAAUUGUAUUGCCAUAUUAAGUUGAUUUCAGAUAUUUUAGUCAUAUGAUCAAAUGAUAAGCUUUGGCGAGAAAGCAUGAACUUAAUUCGAUUGAUAUAUUAUAUAUUGGAAGGAAUUAAUCACACGGCAACUGUAAGCAGAAGGGUUUAUUCUUUAUCGCCAUUCUGGAUCAUAGUUAGUUAAUUCGCGAAUUAUUCGCGAAUUAUUCGCGAAUUUUUGGAAAUCCGAAUUAAACGGCCAUUUUUGAAUUUUUGGAAAAAAUUCGGAAAAAAACGGAAUUUUUUGACGAAAAAUACGUGUUCGCGUAUUAUUCGGCGGGCCGAAUUAUUCGGCCCAAAAAAACGGAGCAAGCCCGCAGCCCGCAACCCACACGCCUGCCCGCGCGCCUGCCCGCGCCUGCCCGCGCCUGCCCGGGCUCCCGCAUGGGCUCUUGGGCCAGUUGGCCCAAAACAGUAAAAUACAAAGAAAAAAAGUAAAAAUCUUUCCAAAUACCUCGCCUAGAUCAAAAAAAAAGCAUAAAUCUUGAGAGAAAAAAAUUUAAUUUAAUAGCCGAAUUUUUUAUCCCGAAUUUUUAAUUAGUAAACGUAUAAUAUCCGUAUAAAUCAUGUAUCCGAAUAAUUGAUAAAUCCGUUUUUUAGCCGUAUUUUUCAACGAAUUUAAAAAUUCGAAGACGAAUUUUAUUCGAAUUAUAUCCGUACCGAAUUUUUGCCGAAUCCGAAUUAACUAACUAUGUUCUGGAUUGCCUUAAUAUACUGUUAGGUGUCACUUUCGGACGGUGAGGGUAUAUGAAUGAUUCGAAUUGAAUUGUUCUUAUAUAUCAAUUAGAAUUCUAAUUAAAUAUCAAAGAGUUUGAUGUUGAGCUCCACUGCCGAAUGGUAAUGAACCUAUACAGUCACACACAUUAGGAGUUGUAUGCAUCCGUUAAUAUGGAUGAGAGUCGUUUACUAAAGAGAUUAGUAUAAGCAGUGAAGAUAAGAGAAUGCUGCUUAAUUAAAUUAGAUUUAAUUAUUCCACUUAGUAGAUUAGAAUUUCAGAAUCAUGAGUUUGAGAAUUAUGCACAAGUGUUAAAUUUAUCACUAAUUAGAUUAAUAGAUAAUAUUUAAUAAUAAAAUAUUUAAAUGAGGUUUAAAUAUUUAAUAAAUAAUUUUAUUGGAUAAGAAAAAAAUUAGAUAAGAUCUAAUUAAAUAUAGAGAGAUUAAUUUUUAUCUCUAAUUGGAUUUGAGAAUAAUUAAAUAUUUAUAAUAUCCUAUGAGAUAAGAUUUUUAUUAGAUUUGAUUUAGUUGGAUAAGUAUGAAUAUUUAAUGCUAAAGUUUAUUGGAGAGAGAGCAAAUCUUAUUAGAUAAGAUUUUUCAAAAU